UCAAUUUGUGUCUGCUAUUUUUUCCUGAAAGUGGAUGCGAUGUCACUUCAUCACUUAUUUAUUCUUUUUGUUUUGAUGACCGUGGGGUUCCCAAUCAGUAAGUCUAGACUAAUCUCCACGAGGCCUUCCAUCCGGGUACGCACGGUUAUAGGCGGGAAGGGGGCCAAGGCGACUCGAACCCAGGGCGGGCACUCCAGCCGGAGUUCCAAUACCACUAGGCCAAGAGCUCUUGGUUAUCACUUAGUUAUCGUAUAAAACAAUACUAUGAUAAUUAUCGUCAUAAUCUAAGAGCCACAUUUUUGUGUACUUACGAAUGUUCCACUUUCAAUUACGCAACGUUCAUAAUUCGUUACACCAAAAAAAAAACGUUCAUAAUUCGAACCUUAACAACCACAAAAAGAAGAACAAGCUAGGUACGUUAACGUUCAUUGUCCAAGCUUAUAUCAAAGGUCCUGAACACGUCGAUCUUCAGGCAUCAUCAUGUCCACUUUGGCUCAAGAUCGAGCAAGCUCUUAGUUAUUAUGAAGAGUCCAAGAGGGAUCAAUGUUGAUAACCGCAACAUUUUUUUCUUUUUUUUUCUUUCUGAUAGAAACAAAAAACUCUGAUAUUGAUGGUUCUCUGUUUCAUCAAUGAUCCAGGAAGCUACAUACACAUAUGGUGAAGAUUAAAUGAUUUAGCUUGGACUCAUGUGCUUGUAACUCAAGAUUCUUUUCUACUGUUUGUUCUUUUUCUUCUUUUAUUAAUUCUUUGUGCUUAUUGUUUCGUACGUGAAUGAUUGAUUAACAGCGCCAUAGAAAUAAAACUAAUUAAUAACUGGUUCUUUCAAAGCGAGGUCGUAAACAAUCUUGAAAUAGGUUUGGUAAUUUAAUUUAAGAUAAAAAAAAACUUCAACAAACUUUACCAUAUUGGCUUCAGUCAAUUCCGAGAAACAAAGUCACUCGACUGAUAGGUCUGCAAACCUCGUGUGGCAAGGGUUGGACUAGACCAGCUAAGAGCUAGAUUAGAAAGGUGUUUCUCGGCAGGAAAUGGUGUAACAUCAGAGUGAAUAGUUUCUGUAGCUGGUAACUCAUUCACCUUUCCUUUUAGUCGAGUCGGCUCUGUGCCUCUGCAGCUUCUGGGUCUGGGCACUUAGCAGCCUCUACUUUCACAUUUCUUAAAUAGGUCUGGUUCCCUACGGCUACGGGGUUCAUGCAUUGAAGUAUUAGCUCGAUUUCCUGUUUGAAUGGUUAUAAAGGAUGAGAUGUGGAGUCAGCUUAAUUAACGGUUUACUAACUUAGAUAACCUUUAUACAUUUUUUUUAUUAGAAUUUAUUUGCAAUUUGUAAUGAAAUAGACGUAGAUAGUUCUUGAAGUCACAUACCAAAUAAAUCAUUUUUCCCCAACAAACACAGCAAGCAAUGGUUAAACUGGAUUUGAACUGCUUACAGACAAAUUUUAAAUUCCGGUUUAAUAUCCAGGUUCAGCUAAACCGGACCUGAACACCCCUAGUUUACGCGUCUAUAUAUACAUCCAAGAACAAUCUAAACGGCGGCUAACGUAUCUCUCCGGCGAUAAACUCUCCUCAAAGCUCUCAACUUUCUCCCCCGAUCCAACGAAAAUGGAAGAACCCACGUCGUCUUCAGAAUGCGGAAUCACCAUCAUAGCCAAACCCCGCAAAACCCUUCCCCAAACCCAACCUCCAAAACUCGAUCCCACUCCCCAAUUCGAGAAAUUCACAAGCACCGACUCCACCACAUCCGCCGCGAACUUCGAAUCCCUCGGACUCUCCGAGUGGGCCUCCGAGACCUGCAAGGAGCUCGGCAUGCGCAAACCCACUCCGGUCCAGACCCACUGCAUCCCCAAGAUCCUAUCCGGACGAGACGUCUUGGGGCUAGCUCAAACCGGUAGCGGCAAAACGGCGGCGUUUGCGGUGCCGAUACUCAACCGCCUCGCCGAGGAUCCUUACGGAGUGUUCGCCCUUGUGGUGACGCCUACACGAGAGCUGGCGUUCCAGCUCGCUGAGCAGUUUAAGGCCUUGGGGUCGUGUUUGAAUCUGCGCUGCUCUGUGAUCGUGGGAGGGAUGGAUAUGCUGACGCAGACGAGGAGCUUGAUCUCGCGGCCUCAUGUUGUGAUUACUACCCCUGGGAGGAUUAAGGUUUUGCUCGAGAACAAUCCUGAUGUUCCUCCUGUCUUCUCUAGAACCAAGGUAAUACUAAAAAAGUUUCCACCUUUCUUACUCCAAUUAUUGCUAUGGAAUUUUUUAAUCCUAGACCAAUUUUUUGAAAAAUGGUUUAAGAUUAAUCUGACAGUAAUUAGAUGUUUUAUAGAGGAUUUUUGAUUAGGCAGUCGUCUAGAUUGAACUUAUAGGAGAUUAUUGAUUAGGCGGAUGUAUAGAUUCUUGAAAAAUGGUUUAAGAAAAAUGGGACUGUAAUUAGGUGUUUUAUAGAGGAUUAUUGAUUAGGCAGACAUAUAGACUGAACUUAUAGGGGAUUAUUGAUUAGGCGGAUGUAUAGACCGAUUCUUUGAACCCUAGACCAGUUUCUUGAAAAAUGGUUUAAGAAACAUCGGACUGUAGUUAGGUGUUUUAUGGAGGAUUAUUGAUUACGUAGACGUCUAGACUGAAUUUAUAGGAGAUUAUUGAUUAGGCGGCAUCAUUUUUUGAACCCUAUUUCGAUUCUUUAAAUUAUUGUUGAAGAAAAAAUCACUGGUUGCAACCUUUUGAUUAGUCUUAUUGUUUUUUUUCUUGUGGUAUUGUUUGAUUUAGUUCUUGGUGCUGGAUGAGGCGGAUAGAGUUCUUGAUGUUGGUUUCCAAGACGAGUUGCGCACCAUCUUUAACUGCUUGCCUAAAACUAGGCAGACGUUGCUGUUCUCCGCUACGAUGACGAGUAACUUGCAGACUUUGCUUGAGCAUUCUUCAAACAAAGCUUAUUUCUAUGAAGCCUACGAAGGUUUAAAGACCGUUGAUACGCUGAAGCAGCAGUACAUUUUCAUAGACAAAGAUGCGAAAGAGCUGUAUCUUGUGCACAUCUUGUCGCAGAUGGAAGAUAAGGAGAUUCGAUCAGCCAUGAUUUUUGUCUCCACUUGCAGGUCUCAUAUUCAUUGCUUUACCGAGUUCACUCUUUUAGUUUGUGAUUCCAUUUGAAAUGUUCUGAUUAGACUUGGUUUGUGUUUUAGAACAUGUCAAAGGCUGAGUCUUAUGCUUGAAGAGCUGGAAGUGGAGAAUGCAGCUUUGCAUUCACUGAACUCUCAGUCUUUGCGACUCUCUGCGCUCAGUAAAUUCAAGUCCGGGAAAGUACCGAUACUGCUUGCUACUGAUGUAGCCAGCCGUGGAUUGGAUAUUCCUACUGUUGACCUUGUAAUCAAUUAUGACAUUCCAAGGUACCUUCUUUUUUUGUUCUGUUAACUGUGCUUUGAAGCUUAUUGAUAUUAUGCUUGGCUUGUAUCAGAUAUCCUAGGGACUAUGUUCAUCGUGUUGGACGUACAGCUAGAGCUGGUAGAGGAGGACUGGCUGUAAGCAUUAUCACUGAGGUAUAGCUGGAGAUUAUAUGGAAUUACAUGAGGAUUGCUCUCAAGUUUUGUAGUUCGUUACCACCAAUCCUUGAAUUUUAUUUUGCAGACCGAUGUGAACCUUAUUCAUGAAAUAGAAGCGGAAGUUGGAAAACAGAUGGAACUGUACAACUACAGAGAGAUCACUGACAGUUUAGAAGUCACAAAGGUAAAAGAUUCGCUAUGCGAUACAUUAGAAGUUCUCGUCUUAUGUAGUUGGCUUAGUCUUAUACAAUACCAGCUGAUUCACCAUGGUGUUCUAGUAUUAGGUUUUAGUUCAUCUUGGUAUAUAAGGCAUUUCAACUUCAAGCAAAGGUCUUAGGCUUACGCGGAAGUUUCUGAAUCUGUGUCUGCAGGUAUCAAAAGCUAAAAGGGUGGCGAUGAUGAAGAUGCUAGACGAUGGAUUCGAAGACAAGGUCAAAGACCGGAGGAAACUGAAACGUAAAACACUUGCGGAUAAAGGGAUGCUUAAGAAACGGAGCAAAACGAGAAAAUCUGCAGAAGAAAACUGAUGACUAAAAAAUCAUCAUCAAAUUUUGUUCUCUUAAGUUCAUUUUGAUCAUCAAAUCUCUGACAAUCAAUGUCUAUUAAUGUUCUUACUUUUAGUAUUUGAAUCUUGAUUGCCUGCAUUUUCAAAUCUUCUGAAGAUAAACACUUAUGUAUCAGUCGCUAGUUUUUUUCCACAUUAGUAGAAACAAUACCAUGAAAUUUCUAAUGAUGAAGUGCAUUUCUUAUGUAUUGGGCACAAGCUCUUUUCCACAUAAGUAUCUGAUACUUUAACUGUUAAUACAACGCCUCAAACCAAUUUUAUUAGUUUAACUUGUUUUUUUGGUUUUGGUAAAAGAAAAGGGAAAGGAGAAAAGGGUCAACAAAUAUCUCCCUCCUGACCCAAACAUGAGUAAAGAGUGAAGAAAACCUAUAACGAAGCAAGACUGUUUUACUUUGAAGUCUUAUUGUGAGCUGGUGGUUUGGAUUGGUUCGAAGUUGCAGCAGUUGACAUCACACGUAAACGACCAGCUAUCUCCGUGAACGAUGGCCUUGCCGUUGGAAUAGGCGCCCAGCAUUCCUCCAUAAGUAUUCUCCAGUCUGAGUCACAGUAACCUGGUAUGGUAGGCCUCAGUGUGUUGUUCACUAUCCCACCUGCACUUGACCGUAAAUUCCAUGAGUUGUUAAUACAUAGUCGUGUCCUAGACAAAUAAGCCGACCAGACAAAAAAUAUACAGAUGUUUCAUUUCUUCUAUUUCAGACAAAGCACAACCAAAACCGAGACGAGUAGAACCUCAGUUUCUUUGAAAAUCAGUCAAAGCAAAAACUCAAACCGAACAAAAACAUUACUCUUACCAAAAUAGUAAUCAGUUUCUAUAUCAAACCAAGGGUUGUAUGUUAGUAAGUACGCACCUAUUAUAGCACCAUAGUGCAUAUUAGCAUAUGGUUCCUCUCCAGUUAGAAUCUCCCACAAGACUAUACCAAAAGAGAAGACAUCGACCUGCAGAUAAAAAUCUAACAACUCAGAAUGGUUUCAUUCUUUGUGUUCACUAAGAAACAUUUUAUUUUUUCACCUUCUCUGAGACUUUACUGCUGCUGCCGUUUAGAAGCUCUGGUGCCAUCCAUGGAAGGGUUCCACGUACACCACCAGAUACCAAUGUAUUUCUUUUUAUUUUCGACAAGCCAAAAUCACCAACCUAGAGGAAAAACAAACGAGUGAAAAGUAUUAAACACACAAAGUCUGCUUUUGUUCAAAGACUAUGAAUGAAGUUUUUUACCUUGCAGAUUGGGCGAGAAGGAUCUUUGAGGUUCACAAGUAAGUUGUCACACUUCAAAUCGAAGUGAACAAUGUUCUUGGCGUGCAAAUACUCCAUUCCAAAUGCAGCGUCCAUGGCAAUGAUUAGUCUCUUACGACGAUCCAGGUGUCUGGAAACAUGAGAAUGAAAAGCAAAGAAUCUUUAUAAAUGUUCAUCAGAUAGGAGAACAUUGAGACGUUAUAAGAGAGAGAGAUAUGUACCUAUCUUUCCUGAGUAGAACAUGUCUUAGAGAACCAUCAACCAUGUACUCUGUUACAGUAGCCAAUGUUCCACCAGGUCCAUCUUUCACAACACCGUAAAAUGCAACCACAUUUGGAUGAUGAAGCUUUGAAAGUAUCCCAGCUUCUCCCCAGAACUCACCAGUCUAGGAAACAAUUUAAAAGGAAUGCAUUAGCAUCUCAAGACAAGCAAUCUUACAAGUCUUAUCAAUGCCGAAGAAACACUCACUAAUCUCUCUUGUUCAGAUGAUCGACCAGCAAAGCAACUCUUCUUUAUCCUCUUGAUGGCAACAUCUGACCCUCUCCAUUUCCCAUGAUACACUGUACCGAACGUCCCAGAACCAAGUUCCUUUAGCUCCUCUAGAUCAUCAUUCAUAAUGAUCUACAAACAAUUAAGAACAAAAGAAUCGGACCAAGGUUAGAACCAGAUAAUUAACUUUAAAAUCACAAACAGAAGACUAAAUGUAAGCACGCUGCUCAGGGUAUGAACUUUGAUGUUUGAUUCUUCUAACAUGUCCGAAAACUUGCCUAAAACAUUAACACAGAUCCUUUCUUCAAAUACAAAAUAAGUAAAAGUCCAUCAUACCUGUAAGUCAUUUUUAUCGUAAUCUGCCAAAGACGAACCAAGUGGAGGAACAGCAUUCCUUGUUUCUUUCUUUUCAUCCUACAAGUAAUCAACCUCAUUAGUACAUUCUCGUUUUGGAAUCAUGAAAUAAGAGACUUAUAUACCUCAUGUCCACUAUCUGGCGUCCUUAGAUUCUCAACCAUAGCACCAAACUCCUCACUCUCUGUGACCUUCAUCUGUGCAUCCUCGUUAGCGCCAGCAACAUAAGCUUGACCUAAAUUCUCCUGAGGAUCAUCUCUGUUCAAUGGAGCGACGUGAUGCAGCUUGGUAAUCCCUCCGCUAUCUUCCAUGUCAGAUGGAAAGCCAGGUGGGAGAUCAUCUCUUUCACUGAACUGUUCAUCUGCCAGUUUCCGGAAAUAAGACCAAUUCUUAGGAUCAUGAUUCUCUACAUUCAAACUAACACCAGCACCAUCAUGCUGAUAUGCAUUGACGCCGCCUGGUGGCACGUCUUCAGAGAGCGCCUUUGCAAAUAUCUCAGAAAGGAAGUCCUGAGGAAACCUAUCAUUGAUGUCAAUAACAACACCUGAGGAAGCUUGACCUUCAGGGCUAACUUGACUGGUGGUGGUGGCUGUGUCUUUAUGGUUAAGGUUAGGAGCUUCAGCCUCAAUACCUCCACCAUUGACCAUUUGAUUCUUGUUGGCAGCGUCAGGGCUUAAAAUCUUAUGCUCAUUCGAUGCCCCAACUUCAUGUGAUUUACCCUCUCCUUGCUUUACAGGAUCUUGCUGAGCUUGUGAAUGAGACAUUAAGAACUGAGAGCCUAUAGAGUCAUCAGACUUUGACAGGCGGUUUAGCAUUUCCAACUGUUCACGAGGUAUCCUCUCAGAACGGUAUACUCUCCGUGUGGGUGGUGAAGGCUCCGAGUAAUCAAGAUCGAUUAAAUUUGACUCAGAGUCAGUCUGAGCAAGACCACAGGUACCACUUGACGACGAAAGCUGAUCAUCCUCACCACCUGAUACAGGAGCCUGCUCACGAACAACCGCAUCACGGUAUGUGGCAGCAGGCUUCACAGGAGUGUUCUGUCGUGGGUCUCUUCUUGGGGGCAACAUAUGUGUAGCAUCCUGGCUAGGCACAGUUGGAGAAACUGAUGGCUCCUGAACUUCGACAUUAUCAGCUUGAGGAGGACUCUGACGAAACUCAGGCUCUACAUUCUCACGAACUCUCAUCUCAGGUUUUAUGUUUAGCUCUCUUCCCUGCACUGCUGCGUUUUGCUGUAUGACACUAGGGUAAGGGUAUGGCUGCUGCCCUUGGAAAGGCAUGGAGAUGGAGUAAUUAGAAGAACUGUGUUCAUGAUGCAUAGGAAACUGCUGCCUUUCUUCACAGUAUUGUGGGUACAUUCCAUAUGAGCUAGGGGAAACUGAUGGUGGAUACUGAAGAGGAAUAGACUGAGGAUACUGAAGAGAGGGACUCGGCGGAAUGGACUGAGCAUACUGAAGUGUAGAACUAGGAGGAACAGCUUGCUGAAACUGAAACGCAGCACUGUGUGGGAUGGAUUGAGGAGGAUACUGAAGCAAUGAGCUUUGUGGCGCAGAGUCAGAAUACUGUAUAGAGGACGGUAACUGCGGAGGUGCAACACCGUUGGUGUUCCUAACAUCCAUCUCAGCUAAGUUGUUUGCAGAUCCAUUAAGAGUAGAGUUGCUUCUUGAACCAAUGUCCAUAUCAUUAACAGCCACAACAUACUGAAACUCAGAGUCAACAUCAUUCUGCUUAACCCCCAAAAGAGAACCAUCCAAAUCAGCUACGGAGAAGAGAAACAUUCUAAGCUUCUGCGAGCCCCCACGAUUCUCCAUCUCGUUAUACUCCUCCAUCAUGUUCUGUAGAUCUUCAUCACACGUUACAGACACCAAGGCGUCAAGAUCUUCACCGGGAAGCUGAUACUUCACCAUGUGAGUCCGGUAGUAGAUUUCAAGAACCUUUUGCCUGAGCUCCUGCCAAGAUAUGUCUCUUCUUAUGGAGAUAAUGUGCGUUUCGCCUCCAACGUAUCUGAGCUUUGAAUCGCCUGGACGUGGGAGUAUUUUCCCACCGAAGCUGCAAAGGACUUUAACUUUGGCUGUUACACUACCUGAGGCUGAAGAAGAAGAUGCAUACCCAUGAAAGUUUCCUAGACUUGUAUCUUGACAUAGUGAAGCUUCUGGUGCUGACUGGAUAAGCCCAAGUUGAUUACCAAACUCGUGAAGCGGGUAGUUUGUUCUGUCAUAUUCUCUCAUCCCGUUUCCCACCAUGUCAUUAGCUGCAUUGGGGUUUGUAGACCUCUGAGAAAUCACUCGAUCACGCAGAAACUCCAGAGAGAACUCCUCUCCUGUUUGGAUAGAGUAGUGAAGGCCUGGCUUAACUUCUGAAGUGUUAGAAUUGAGAGGCCGAUCAUUUGCACUCGUGGUGGUGCCUGUUUGAUUAGGAGUAAAUGCUUGAGGUUGAGGGAGAGAGUCAUUCACAUAGCCAGGUUCCAUAUGGUGUUGCUGGAAAGGAUGCUGUUGUCUGUUUCUAUCCAUCACAACAACAACAACAAGAAUCCUUCAAAUUAUUCUAUUUGCAAGAAGAAUCUUGCGUACUUGACUAUAAUGAACACACUGAGAUGCCAAUUUGCUUCAGAGACUGAAGAACCUUGAAAUGAUAAGCUGAAAUGAAGACAAAUAACAUAAGUUUAAAAGCUUUGAAUCUUAUUAUAUAAUCAAGAAAAUUGCAAGACCAGGAGGUUCAUCAUACAGAUUCAACUGUGGAUGAAUAAUUAAAACUCCUAAAGGAUGCUUUUUGACUCUAAAAAUGGAAACUUUUUCAUGGACAAUUAAUCCAAAACCUCAAACAGAAAAACCCACAAGCCCAUAGUAAUUAGCUCGAUUCAGGAAGAUAAAAAAGGCAGCUGCUUUCAGAAUUAAGAAAUGAAAGAAGAAGAACACCAAGAAAAGAAAUGUAGAGCUUUUGACCUGAGCGGUGAGCAAACUUAAGAAAGAUUGCGGGAGCUAGCUACAGUCCAAAACAUCUUCUCUUUGAUGGAAUCUCAGGAUAAAUACAUCAAGAACCCUAACGUCUUUCUUCUUUUUAUUCUUUUGUUUUCUCUCACUUGUCUUUCCUCGUUUCUUACUCGAAGGAUGGAGAUUAGAGGAAAAUAUAUAUUUUAAAAAUUACCAAAUGGUCAGACUACACUUUUGUAAUGGAAAAAUACAAAAUAUUUAGUGUUAAGAUUUUAACUUAACUCCGUCUGACUCGGUUUCUAAAAAACCAGAAGAAAUCGUGAACCGUACAUCUUUCGAAAGACGGAACAAUGGACGGCCAAGAUGAUAGAAUAAGAUCGGUGGAGUAUGGAAUCAAGUUGAGUCAGUCCCGUAGCUUAUGUUAUACGGUUUGCAUUAAAUGUGCACUUUCAAUUUCAUCAGAUCCUAAACUUAAUAACCAACGUGGCCAUACUCUUUUCUAUCAUUUUCGUUAUAAAUACUCUCUUUUCAUUAUCUCAAGUAAUGUUUUUUCUUUCCUUUAUAAAUGUCAAUGCACAGUUUUAUAAAAGUCUGAUUAAUAUGGAUUUCAUAUGAAUAUAUGCGGUUUCUUGUUUUAGAAAUGCUAAUAAUAAUAAUUCUAAAAACUAUAUUUUUUAAAUUUUGAUCUACGUAUCUAUGCUAAACAUAGAUAUUGAGUGUGCUUUCGUAUCUGACCCAAAUCGGUAGUUGAACCUGUAAACUCGGUGAUCCCAAUAUAAUCCGGUUUAACCUGUGACCUAACCUAGAAAAAACUGAUAAUAUUUCUAAAAUUAAGAUUUUAUUUACUUUUAAUUUGUAUAUAAAAUUGAAAAAACUAUUAUAAUUUUUUUUACUUUGAUGAAUUUUUUUACUAUUCGAAAAAUAAAGAAAAUUAUAUAAGAGAAAACCAGAACUUAUUAUAUGAUAAUAUUAGUUUGUUUUUGUUAUUUAUAUUAUAAGUUUAAAGAUGCCGGAUCAUAUAAAAAAUAUUUGAAAUAUUUAUUUGUUACUAUUGUGAAUAUAUAAAUUUAAGUAGUUGGAGAAAUUAAAAUAUGUAACAACCUAAGUAAAUAUAUAUAGUAUUUGCUUAAAUAAGUUAAGAUUGAUAUGUUUUGCUAUAAAUAAUAUUACUUUAUAAAAGAAAUCAUUAAUAAUCUUCCCAUUUAAAUUGUUACCAUAAAUUGUUUUUACAUCAAUUUUUACCAUAAAUAAGUAGAGAAUUUAUGGUAGUUUUGUUAUAAAUAUAAAUGCAUUAUGCUUAAGAAUAAUGCGUGACAAUCCGUCCAGCUCACUCGGAUUCUGGCUCACAGUUCACUGAUCCUAACCCUUCACCGCUGGAGGAAACACUUCCACGUCCACCGGUAGGUUAUUGGUGCGCUUGGCGUUACUCGAACCCAAGACCUCAUCUUUUAACAACACUUUUCCAUGAUGAGUUGUCACCAAUUGACCUGCAAGGAUAGUCAGCGAGGACUCACAUGUGAGGGGUUAGGGUCGGUGCCCUGCUGGGCUGUGAGUCGGGUUCCAAGUGAGCGGGACGGAUUGUCACAUAAAAAGUCGACUUUUUGUGACAAUCCAUCCCGCGGACCCAGGCUCACAGCCCUGUAGAACACCGACCUUAACUCUUCACAUGUGAGUUCUCACUGACUCACAGAUCAAUUGGUGACAACUUGUUCCGUGGGAGUGCUGUUAAAGAGUGAGAUCUUGGAGUUCGAGUAACAUCAAGCGCAUCAAUAAACUACAUAGGAGAAUCAGUGAGGGCUCACAUGUAAGGGAUUAGAGUCGGUGCCCUUCAGGGCUGUGAGUCUGGAUCCGCGGGAUGGAUUGUAAGUUGUAACAUAAUGUUGUAGAGGUGGUAAUUAUAUUAUAUAGUAUUUUUAUUUAUUUUUUGGAAAAAAAGUAUUUUUUUUUUUAACCUAGAAUUAAGUUAAGUCCAAUUUCGUGAUUCUGUUUUAAAAGUAUUGAUUUUAUAUAACCAAAUUAAAUCUAGAGUUUAUCUCUAAGGCUCUGAAUGUUUCUAACCAUCCCGUUCUGUACCGCACUUAACAGUAACAAAACUCUCUACAUAUACCAUAUAUCUAUACGUUUUUAUAACUGUUAAAACUGCACUGCAGUUGUACCGCUUGUCCCGCACUAUUAUUUUGGAAAUUUCAAUAAAAAUAACAACUCUACAUAUUUAUCUUACCAUGACUUGAAACUUGUAAGCUUGCAUCCUAACAAAUAUAUAAGUUCCUGUUAACUCUCAAGUUUUAAGCCCAUUGAGCCUACACAUCGUAUACGCCCUGAAUGUGAUGCGGGGUCGCUUGUUAAUAGAAACGUGGAAGUCAAAAACGUACUACUAGGAAAUAGGAAACAGAGCAUCUUCUUCGUCUGUUGAUGGUGAUGGAACCACCAGCUUUGGCUCAGCAUGAAUGUUACAUAUGUGACAACUAAGAGAACAUUAUCCACUUUUAUUUUUAUGAUAUAUCUACGGAGCUGAACGCACUGCUAAUAUAUUAUAGGCUAAAUUCAUAUAAGUCAAAAGUCUUCGUUGAUAUGUAAUCAAUCAUGCAGCAAAAUAAAAUAAAAGUGUUUGAAUCUUUGACUUAUUCUAUGGAGCCCACUGUGAUUCACACGGUUCAAAGUCUUCGUUAUGCAACUAAAAUGGGAAAAGAAAAGCACCACCAUGGUUGCUUGUUUUCAUUAGUGACUACUUAAGCAGUUGAAAGAAAGCACAAGAGAAAGCACUAUCUUCUUUGUGUGAGUGUGAGUGAGAAAGAGAGAGAGAGAGAGAGAAUGGAUUGUAAUCUGAAACUUUUCUUUUUUGCAUUUUUUCUAUCUCAAAUCCAUGGAUACAUAGUUGCUUCUACUUUCCCUCUUGAUUUCCCUGUUGCAUUACCUAGUUGCAUAGACCGGUGCUACCGUACUGAUGUUCGUGUUCCUUACCCUUUUGGGAUAGGCAAAGGUUGUUACAAGAACAAAUGGUUCGAGGUUGUCUGCAACCGCUCAUCACGCCUCUCUCUUCCUUACCUGCCAAGCAUCGGACUGGAGGUUGUUUCGUUUUCCCUUACAGACGACUUUAUAUAUGGCUAUCGUUAUUACAAGAGCAACGGGUUUCAAAUUCAGAGUCCAACGAGGAAUUUAGGCUGUUCAUAUGGAAUAGACUAUAUCCGAUCUUUGAAUCUAACGGGGAGUCCAUUCUUCAUAUCAGACAAUAACAGGUUCACUGUUGUUGGAUGUAACAUCAAAGCGAUGAUGGUGGGAACAGGGCCCCAAACUGUUGGAUGUGAAGCGAGAUGUGGGAAUGAGACCCAGUAUUACAAAGAUGCUGACAAGAGCUGUGUCGGAUAUAAGUGCUGCCAGACCAAAAUACCGCCUGGUCUUCAAGUGUAUGAUUCAACUGUGGAGAAACUGGGACCUGGUAAAAACUCAUGUCAGAUGGCCUACUUGUCACGAGAGGACUUCACAAGGUACGAGCUUAAUUCAUCCGAUCUAACAAAUCACUAUACCCUGAACAUGGAUCUGGAAUGGCGUCUUGAAGUUUCCCCCAAGAUCUCUCCAGAGAGUUCACAAUGCGAGAUUAGUACAAGCGUAAUCCGCACGGAUGAUCAGUAUAAGUAUCAGUGCAGCUGCAAAAAUGGUUAUGAAGGCAAUCCUUAUCUACCUGGUGGAUGUCAAGGUCUGUAUAAGCUUCUUCUCAAUUUGGAUAGAUAGCUUGUGUGUGUAUACUUCUCACUUUGUAUUGUUUUUGUCCAGACAUUAAUGAAUGCAAAACUAUAUAUGGAGUGUGUGGAAAGCACAGGUGUGUGAAUGUGCCUGGAUCAUUCAGAUGUGAAAAAACAUGGCCAGCCAUUCUAGGCAAGUUAUUAUUAUAACUAAUGUUUUCUUCAUUUCUAGAUUUAAACUGAAUAGAUCAAAGAACAAUGCUCUAAGAGUUGUUCUGCAGGUGGAACUCUAAGCUCCGGAUUGUUGCUUCUAGUCAUUGGAACGUGGUGGCUAUGCAAGGUUAAUAAAAAGGAGAAAGCAGAGAGGCAGAAGAGGAAGUUCUUCAAACGAAAUGGAGGUUUGUUAUUAGAGCAACAAACAUUCUCCCAUCAAGGCAGUGUCAACAAAACAAAACUGUUCAGCUCCAAUGACCUGGACAAAGCAACUGACAGAUUCAACGCGAGCAGAAUACUAGGGCAAGGCGGCCAAGGUACAGUUUACAAAGGGAUGUUGGAAGAUGGGAUGAUCGUUGCCGUCAAAGUCUCCAAAGCAUUGAAAGAAGAUAAUCUCGAAGAGUUCAUCAACGAGAUCAUCCUUUUAUCUCAGAUCAACCACAGAAACGUUGUCGGGAUCUUAGGUUGUUGUCUUGAGACAGAGGUGCCUAUGCUGGUGUAUGAGUUCAUUCCCAACGGAAGCCUUUUCGAUCAUCUUCAAAACCCAUCAGAAUACUUCCCAAUGACUUGGAAAGUACGUCUCUGCAUCGCCUGCGAAGUAGCUGAUUCACUAUCCUACCUGCAUUCAGCCGCAUCUGUUCCGAUUUAUCACAGAGAUGUCAAGUCAACAAAUAUCUUGUUGGAUGAGAAGCACCGCUCAAAGGUAUCAGAUUUUGGGAUUUCGAGGUCCGUUGCUAUUGAUGAUACUCACCUGACGACGAUAGUGCAAGGAACAGUUGGAUAUGUAGACCCGGAGUACCUCCAGUCAAGCCACUUCACAGGGAAGAGUGACGUCUACAGCUUUGGCGUUGUGCUCAUUGAGCUUUUAACCGGAGGAAAACCUGUCUCUGUACUGAGGCCACAAGAAGUAAGGAUGUUGGGAGCUUACUUCCUCGAAGCCAUGAGGAAUGAGAGACUUCAUGAGAUUCUCGAUGCUCGCAUCAAGGAGGAAUGUGAUCAAGUGGAAGUACUUGCAGUAGCCAAACUAGCGAGAAGGUGUUUGAGCUUGAACUCAGAGCAUCGCCCUACCAUGAGAGAAGUCUUCAUAGAGCUGGAUAGGAUGCAAUCCAAGGGAAAUGGCGCUCAAAGCCUAGCAGAAAAUGGUGAAGAGCACACACACAUCCAGAUAGCAAUACCAGAGUCUAUGUCACUCAGUUACUCUUCUCCGUGUACAGUCUUACCGGACUCAAAACCACUCAUGACUCACAAUACACAGUGACUGGAAUAACCUUCAAGGUCUUAUUACUCGUGCGAAUGUACUCCAUAAGUUUAUCCAAUAGUUCCUGUAUGUAAUUUAUAAGACUUCAUGUAGCAAAAUCAAGGAAAUAAGCGAAGAAAACCUUUGUAUAAGUCUUGACUUAUAUCUUUCACGUGUUUGGUCUAUACACAUGACACACCUCUGUGUAAGAGAAAAAGAAACAUAACAAAAUAUUGCUUGCUAACGCUCAAUGUAUUUAAAUGAACUCUUAUUUACAAGUCCAAGUUCAAUUCCAAAACUGUAACGCACUAAUGGCCUGACCAUCCUCUGGCAGCAUCUCAUAGCAUGACAUACUAAACUCACUUCACAUAAAACUGUAGAAGCCAUUUACCCGGAAGGCCAGAACAUAAAUGCAGUAUAUGUUGAAAUCUCAUGCAGCCCUUAUAAACAACUGUUGCCAAGCACACAGUUAGCAGUUGCUCUAAGUGCCCCUGCGCUGAGUAUUACGCCAGAAGCUUCAACUUUGACAAUCAACGGGACCAAAGUCUGGGUUCACGGAGGAUCAUACUCAGACAUUCCAUGUUAUAAGCCAGCUACAAGACAAAGAAGAAUUAUCAAAGAGUGUUAAUACCUUUGUAGAAAUACAUGCAACCAUAAUAGACUGCACACUAUAUGCCUAUAAAUAAAAGUGAAAUGCUACUGUGAAAAGAUUCUAUCACCUUGGUUAGGGAGGAGAAUGUUCUUCCAAGGAUACACAACCAGUAAUGGACCCACCGGCUGGAAAACACAUCGGUUUGGUCUCUCUCCAAUUCAGAGGUCUAUCUAAAGGAUUACACACCCUCACAACGGGCAAUCUCACAAUGUCAAAUCUCCCAACCCCUGAUUCUUCCCAUUUAAGUACCUUACCUCCUAUAACAUAGAGCUCAUCUCUCAGAGCUGCAAACCCGUAUCCAAAGGCCUCUAACUCUCUCGGAUGGUCAGGAAGAACAACAGAAGGCACCGAGCCAACGUUAUACCAUUCUCCUUCAUCUGUAUCCCUAGUUUUGAUCAAGCUUUCUCCCCAAUCUACAAUCGUGUACAGUCGAUCGUUUUUCAUCACCUGAACAGCAAACUGCAUGGCUCUAGAGAAAGGCCAGAUAUCCUCCAAAGUGGACCAGCUCAUCUCUGAUGGAUUAAAGACUUCAGAUGAAUUUUGCUCUGCAAAUCCCACCUGAUCACUCAGAACAUGAAAGGACCCUCUGUAUGAUAAUCCAGAGCAGUCCAUCUGUGGUCUAGUCAUUGCUGGUAACUCCUGCCACCUGCAAUAAUGCUAUGUUAGACCCUAAAUGAAUCGAUAUUUCUUGAACAAUUUUUUUUUGAAAUGAGUCUAGGCGUUCAAAAACUCGGUCUAGGCAACCAUAUAAUCAAUAAUCCUCUAUAAAUGCCGCCUAACGAUGAACAUUGAUAUAUUCUAUGAGAAAAUGAACCAAAUGAGUGGAGAAAAAUACCUAUCAGCCACAGGAUCAUAAACCUCAGCAGAUGUAAUCCCUCCAGAUUGAGUUAGAUUACGACCUCCAGCGACAUAAACCUUGCCAGAGACAGCAGUACAAGCGAAGUGAGUCCGUGGCGUUAGCAUACCAGCAACCAAUCUCCACUCUUUCUUAAACGGGUCAAACCGCAUGACAUCUCUAGUAACCACAGGCUUCUGAUGUGGAAACGACGACACAGAAGGCGCAUAGCAACCACCAAUCACAAGAAAACAACUCGAAACGCAAACACAAGCGAAACCAGAGUGAUGCCAGCCAUCUUGAAAGGCUCUAGCUCUAGGCAACGGAUGCCAACGGUUAGCUUCGGGGUCGUAAGCGACCCAUUGGUUGUUAGAGCGUUCUGUUAGAACAAACAGCCAGGUCCCUGACCAUCCGUUUUUGGCUUUGUAGCGGGAGUAAUCGGGACUGCGAAGUAAGUCUCUCCACCCUCGGGAGACACACUCGAGGGCUCCGUGAUAGCCGUGAGAAAGCUUCGCGAUGCAUCUUAAAGAUAAGUCAUCAGGCAAACCUGCGAUGAUAGAUUGUUCUUCUGUGGACUCCCUGAAAAUAAGUAUCACAUAACGGUUUUGGAUCAAGGAGAUAAAAGGUAAGGGAUCUAACUUUAAUAAUUAGAGAGCUAACUUACAUGAUUUGAGAUUUAAGGGAUUGUAAAAUGUAUUUCGUGAUCCCCUUCUCGAACUUGCUUUAGAACAUCAACGUUACCCUUGAAAGUCGACAGAUUUUUUCCGGAAUCAAACGCUGUUUACAAUACCUAACGAAUAAACGAAGCAGAAGCUACAAUCAAGACUGAUCUAUUCAAGGUGGAAGUGGAACCAAGCACACUCGGACAGGGACAGCAAACUCAGAUUCUGAAAAACGAAACAAAGACCAGAGAGACAGAUUUUAUUAUUACAAUGAGUUUGAAAAAUUCCAUAAAUUACUUAUUUGGUCCUUAACUUAUGUAUGUUUUCUAUAUUGUAACCACCUACUUUCAUGAAUCGAUUAUCAAUCCUAACAUUCAAACGCCGUCGUUUUACCUCCGCUUAAUUAAAAAACUGUCGUUUCGUGAGAGAGCUUUCACGGUGUUUCGGCGACCAAAUACAUUACGUGAUAUACGAUCUCCGUGAAAGGUACGAAGAGCGCUCCUGAAAAUUUAUUCUUGGUAAGCAAUUCGAUUCUCUUUAUGUCUCUGAAAUACUCAAAUCGUACCUUAUCAUUCUGGUUUUUUUUUAUUUUUUCAUAUUAUGAUCUAUGCGGCUGAUCAUGAUCAGAUCGUCUGAUUAGCAAUUUAGCCAUCUCGUAUUCACACAGUGAAAGUUAUUUCCAGCCAAAGUCUGCGUUUUUAUUCGCAGUCAAAUUCAGUUUGCUCUAGAUAAAAAAUCCAUGCUUGGAACUUUUUGUUUGAUGAUUGCUUUAGAAAGUGAUUGGUGUUGGCUUUAUUACAGUAAUCAAGUCAAUGGCGUCUUCUUCGGAUUCAUGGAUGAGAGAAUACAACGAGGCUUUAAAACUCGCUGAGGAUAUCAACGGCAUGAUGAUAUCUGAGAGGAGUAAAUCUGCUGUCACAGGGCCUGAUGCUCAGCGUCGUGCUUCAGCUAUACGUAGAAAGAUCACCAUUUUCGGAACACGGUUAGAUAGUCUGCAGUCUCUUCUUGCCAAAAUCCAUGGGAAGCCUAUGUAAGUUCAUUAAGCUUAAUCUGAUUGCUCCUUUACAAACCAGUUAAAGAGUUGUAAAGUGUUCAUCUUUUUGACCUGUUGCAGUUCAGAGAAAGAGAUGAACAGGCGUAAGGAUAUGAUUGGGAACUUGAGAUCGCAGGCAAAUCAGAUGGCGAAUACUUUGAACAUGUCGAACUUUGCUAAUAGAGACAGCUUGCUUGGGUCAGAGAUAAAGCCAGAUGACACCUUGAGCAGAGUCAGUAGCAUGGAUAACCAAGGGAUUGUUGGGUUUCAACGACAAGUUAUGAGAGGUAAAAGCUGUUUUUAAUCCUUAUUACACGGAUGUUGAGUUUUGUGUUAGUUUCUCUACGGAGUUUUUUUUUUUUUUUUCUUUUUUUUUGUGCGAGUUAGAACAAGAUGAAGGACUUGAGAAGUUGGAGGAAACAGUGAUGAGUACUAAACACAUUGCUCUAGCUGUCAAUGAGGAGCUUGGCUUGCAGACUAGGCUUAUCGUAUGUUGUCAUCCGCUUUUCAUUGGUUUUUGACUGCCUUGAUUUGGGUUUCAUUGUUGUAACGAAGCUGGGUUGUAUGCAGGAUGACUUAGACUACCAUGUGGAGGUUACUGACUCUCGCUUACGGGUAAUAUAUACUACCAACUCCCCAAAUAUUUCAGGAAAAAUAUUAUUGGGAAUCAUGAGCAGAAGUGAAUUGAUUUCCUGAUUCUAAGCUAAUAACUUAUAUAGGCAUUGAUCUGUUCUCUGUGUGUGUUGUUUGUUAAUACAGAGAGUGCAGAAGAACCUUGCUGUCAUGAACAAGAAUAUGAGAAGCGGUUGUUCUUGUAUGUCAAUGCUCUUGUCAAUGCUUGGGAUCGUUGGUCUUGCUGUUGUAAUAUGGCUGCUAGUUAAGUAUUUGUAAUCUCAACAUUACAGAACGUAUAAGUUUCUCUCUUAGUUGACUUGCCACCUGUGUGAAUGGUAUCAGUAGGUGAUUCGACAUUUGUGCUUGUCCUUUUCGUUCCUCUUCUUUUGUGAGAACCCUUGAAAUAAUAUUAUAUCAUGUAGGCAGUUUUCACAACUGUUGUCUUCAUUAAGAUUUAAAGAACUGGUAGCAAAUAACACGCAGACAUAAGCAUGUUUGUAUCUUUAAAGAAGAAACUCGUCUGAAUUCACAAAUAAGAUAUGACCAUCUGAGAUUCUGAGCAGAGAAAGAAUGAAGGGUUCAGAUGAAAGAGGCUAGCACAAAACUUUUCAUUAUGGUCUGAUUUGGUUAAAAGGCUGUUUUGUUUUCUUGUGGGAACUCAGUCUUCAAAAUCUGCCGAGUUCUCUAGCAGAUAGUUUGCAGCCAAUUCCUCGUUACGGUCACACGCAAGGAAGGCUUCUAUGACCAAUGCUCUAUCAAAUCCCAUUGCCUCAAGCUGAUCAAAAAAGAGAGGCAAAGAGUUAGAAUAGAUGAGAAAAUGAUAUUUCAGGUUGUUAUAAAGGUGAUGAUGAACGUAUGCAUCUAUGUGUGUACCCGUUGAAUCGCUUCUUGCUCUGCAGGGGUAACAUUGACUGCAUGGGGCAUUUCUUGCUCGGGUUGGUCAAGAAUAUCCAUUUCCCUGAGAGUUUUGCACAACCAAUAAGAGACAUUCAGUCAUGGUUCACAUAUAGACGCGACUUGCUUUAAUCAUACACAGAUUUAGCGAUUCAACCAGUGGGCCAGACCAAGAAAACGAUAUACAGACUAUAGAGUGUACUCACCCAUCAGAGCCUUCGUAGGGUUCGUUGAUUAACUGAAGAAAUUCGGCUUGGUUCUCUUGAAUGAGCCUCAGAAGUUGGGGGUUCUGCUUUCCAAGCUCUUGAAGCAUAGGCUGUAACAGAAAGAGAGAUGAGAUGUUCACAAAGGAAUAAAAAAGGUCAUGCAGGCUACUAGUUUCUGGAACCAAAAGCACUACAGAGAAAGGCAAAGGCUAGGUUACCUGCAGAAUCUGGGGGUUGGAAUUGACCAUUGAUCGUAAUUGUUGGAACUAAAACAAAAUGAAUAUACAACAAGAUUAGUGUUAUGAGGAAGCUGCAUCAAAUGAUUAAAGCAAAUAUCAUAUAGGAGUAGGCUAGAAUCCACGUCCCUGAAGGUGAUGAAACAGGCUUCUAACAAAUCAUUCUAUUUGAUCUCACAGACGAAAAGAGGGGGUAAGGAUAGAACGACAACCUGAUCAUUGCCUCUGAGGAAAUCAAGCGUUCCAAGUUCUCCAGCACCAGCUUCUGCUUCCUAGAAUAAUACAAAAAUUCACGGGAACUCAACUACAAUAAACUCUUUUCGACGCACAAAAAUACUAAGCUCUUACUUGAGGAAACAAAUCCAAAGGAGAUGAAUUAGGUCCUCCAGAGGCAGGAGGAGCAGCAAGGUCUGCACCAGUUCCUACUCCCGAUAUUUGAACAGUUUCUCUUUCAGGAAUCCCCUGAAAAAUAAAACAAAUUUCCGCAGUUACAUUCCCUUAUAACAUCCACAGGACACUGAUAGAGAGAAGGACAUACAGAGUAUAAAUAAUCCACUGCUCUCUCAGGGUUGUUAUAAGCUGCACGAAGUGCACGAGUAACUGUUUCUUUGUCCCAGCUUCCUCCCCCCAUUUCCAUUAUUUGUUGAACCAUCUGCUCAGUACUACUGCCACUAGCUAAAGUUGAAGCAGCCUGAGCAUUGGUGUCACUUUGUCCCCUACACAUUUUUAAAGGUCAUAGAGUUAUCGUAAAAUCCUCAAAAUACAAAAUUCAAGUCUGUUAUGUCAAGAAUAAAACUUACGCUGGUUGUUCUUGGGCAAGAGUGGAAUUUGAAGCUGGCACAGGUAUAGACUGGUUUGUCGACGCAGCUGCAGGCUGGUUUAUAGGCACAAGUGUGUGUUAAAUGAAUCCAGAUGAUGAUUACAAUAACAACUAAAGAAGAAGGGGGCUGUUAAGAAAAUUACCAUAGCUGAAGAUGUGGUAGAUGUUGUCAUGGAAGUAGGCUGUGAGAUAGGAACAAAAAUUUCCAGUGAGAACGCUGGACUGAUCAAGUGAUGGGCAACAACAAGAGAAAAUAAGAAACACACUUACCUGAGCCGACGAUGGACCAGCUGAACUUGCAGUUUUGCUCUAUCAAUUGCAAAAGAAAAGUAAAGUACUUUAUGUAAUUUUCAGUAAGAGGAAAGAAUAAUAAUGCAUGGAUCUACCUAAGCUAGCACACAUGUUAUUCAGCUGUCAUCCUUUAAACAGAAUGCAAAAGAUUCGAACCAAUAAAAAAAGAGAACCUAAGCAAAAAACAAAAUUGAUAACAAAAUAAAGUAAGUACCUUGCUCAGCAUGACAACAAGAAAGCCUUCCUCGGUAACCUUGUUCUCCACCAAAGUAGUUUCAUCCUUCAAAACCUUCCCAUUGUGAAUCAACAACUGCUGUCCACAUGGAUAGUUGUCUUUGCUCUGCGAAUCCUCAAUAUUCUUUUUCACCGCCAUUAUCUUUCAAAAACCAAACACACAAACAUAAGAACACAUACACUCCACUCAACAAGACCAAUCGAGAAACUUAAAAUUCUGAAUCUAGCUCUUCGUCGUUUAUUUUACAAUAAAUUGGUACUGCAGCACGGAGAUUUAGCGACUAGCGUCUCUUUAUUACAAAACCUAUCUAAAGUUACCGACUUCGUAUAAAAAAUUACACGUAGCAGAUCUGAACGAAGGAGACAAAUGACUGACCGUGUCGGUGGGCAGAACCCUGAUUUCGAAAUGGCUACCCUUGAGAGUCUUGACGGUUAGCUUCAUGUCGAUGGAUUGAACCAGGCGGCGUCGGGAAAGUCCGGCGAGGGAGCGAGAUUACAGAGUGAGACCUAAAAGAGCGUUCUUUCCAACUACUCUCUGCCAGAAAAAAAACAGUCGCAAUCAACCGAGCGUUUCGGAUUUUAAAACGCGGCAAGUGCAACCCACGUGCGAUUCGCUGCAAGAUGCUUCCAAAUCCACGCGCAUCGCACGUGACACACGCACUAACCUAUACAAAUAUCUCUCGUAUUUUCCUUUUUUCAUUUUUCUUUCAUUUUCCCAGUAAUAUUUAGUUACAAAAAAUAUCAAAUUUCCGUGAAAACAAAAUGCGAAAUCCAAGAUAGAAUUUUUUAAUUAGUUAUUUAAGGGGUUGUCAUAAAAAAAAAAUACUAUUUCAGUGAACUCCUAACUAAUUUAUUUUACAAAAUAAUUUUAUUAUUUUUGAGUAUUUGCUAUUUCAAGUCAAACUGAAAUAUUCAUAUUUAUAUUUAUUUUACAAAUGGACCAACAAAGGCCAAGCGUGAGAUAACAGCAACACACGGGACUCUAUUUUAUAGUCGAUUGAUGAUAAAUCAUUUUUUACAAAUUCAAGAUUCAUGAAAAGUUUUUCAGAAUCUUUGGUUGGAUUUAUUAAGCUCAGAAGUCACGGUCAGGGAAGAGAAUCGGAGCAACAAGUGACCAGAUGAAGAGACCAGCAGUGGCCCAGCUGGUCACAACACGAACCCACACAGACGGCCACCCGACAUCAACCAGUUUACCACUUUCACCCACCGAAGUUGACCAACCAGUUAAGAGCAUUGCAGAGUACAUGCUCGCGAGGGAGAAGAUGAUGUGGAAGAAUGCGUAUGAGUAUGUCACUGGCUUCUUCUGCUCUUUCUCUUCCUUCUCUUCUGCUUUCCCGUCUAGUGGUAGCAGAGGCUUCUCUGAACAUUUUUAACAAUAGCAAAACCCGUUAAAAUACUUGCCAAGCAACUUCAGCACUCAAACAAGAUUUUUUUUUGUGUGGAAACAUACCUGCACGGGGAGAAUCAGGAGAGGAGAGAAGUGUGGUGGAAGAACCUGCACGAACCGCAGAAUAAACGACAGAGAGAACAGUUGUGAGCAACCCAAUGGUCAUGGUGCCUGUUGAAACAGCUUUGGAAUGUUUGUGGAGACCAUUGCAUUCGUAAUCUCGGGGCUCACUAGCAAGACCACUGUAACAGAGGUACAUGCAGUAGAAAGAUAUAACUGAUGCUGGUAAAAUGCUUCCACCGACCUGCAAAACAAAGGUUCAUUUGACUUCAUUGAGGUCUAAAAGAUGACAUCAACAAGAAACUAAAGGUUUUAAAAGUCAAAAACUUACAGCGGGAUGCAAAACCACAACAGCAAAGACGAAUACAAAUAUCAAAGUCAUGACAAUGAAGAAAGUGUUGAGCCCACAAUCGUGUCCAGAUGGAGUAAACCAAUGGAAGAGAAGUCCAGAGAAGACGAAUGUUGCUAAGUAGCAUACAAGCGAAACAACGAGUAACGCAGCAUACCUAUUUACAAAAACCUAGAUUAGCAGUGGCAUAAUUAAAUUAAGUCAAAUGAUUGAAAACAUUUUCUACUAACCAGAACUGCUCGUCGUAGCCAACCCAUGUGUCAUUCCAUCCAUGAACGAAAUCCAGAAGAAGCACAACUUGAACCAGAAGGAAAAAUCCAGCACCAAACUUUGACAUUGACUCUGAAACAAAGAUAGUAAAUUGAUUCUCAUUAGUUCCAAGUUAAUCACUUCAUCAGGAGCAUAUAAAGGAGAUAUGAUGGCACUUUACCAUAAAAGCUGAUGACUUCAUUAGGAACGAAGAACAUUAAUAUAACCAAAAUGAACCAGCAGAUGACUUUCAUCAUCCAACCACCGUGGUGUAUACCAUCACGAGGGUCUUUCUGAGUCUUCACACCAAUCAUCAUUACCGAUAAAAUCGAGAAAAACACGAAGUUCCCUAAGCUGACACGCAAGACAGCAUCAGUCUCAAACCAUUCCCGAUCAGGUGUCUUGUGAAAAUGGUUAAUCCCUACACAAAAAUGUCAAUGAUUAGCUCACUUUGAAGGGGGGGAAUAAACAAUACAAGGGCAUAAGAAAGGGAAAAACUUACAAGGGAGCUUCUCCAUGAGAGGAGCAGCAACCUCACGGAGAAUCCAUGAAACGAUUAAAGAAAGUGCAAAGAGACCGCAGUAAGCGAUCCUUGCGGAACGUCUGCUGAUACUAGAAACAACAGUGCGGCAAGCAUCGCAUGCACAAGCAGCACAGCACGACGCGAGACAAGAAGCUGCCCACAUCUUUUAUUUUUCCCUCCUUCUCGAAGAUCAAAGGGUUGAUUUCAAAUAUAGAGCUGCUAGUAUGAGAAGAAACACACAAAUACAUAUCAUCAAACAACCUUCUUCUUCUCCAUCUAAUCAUUAUCAACAAAAUCCCUAAUCUUCAAAUAAGGUGACUUUUUCCACCAAAUUGGAGACGGAAUCAAAAUUGAAAUUCUAAACUUUACCCAAAGAAACUAGCUUUAGAGAUCGGAUUUGAGCUGUGCAAGAAAAAGGCAUAAGCCCUAAAAUCGAAUCAAAAUACCUUUGGAUAACGAUCGAUCAAACCUUGAGAGCUUUUCCUCUCCUUGAAAAGUAUAACAACCUCGGUGUUCCUUAUGGUUCUCGCUGCUAACAAGGACUUGGUAUUAAUCAACGACGCCAAUGUGAUCACUUUUCAUAAUAAAAGCCCAUUAAUGGCCCAAGGCUUUUUAAAAAAUAUUUUUUUUUCUUAUAAAAGGAGUGGAAGCUAAACACGAAUAAUCGUUUUUUUCCUCUUCUUUUUUCCUUUUGUUUUUUUGUAAAUAAAAUCCCUAAAUUUCCGUCGAAUGUAACGGAAUUAAUAAACCGCGUACGGCGUCAUCCGGCUAAUCGCCCCCCCCCCCCCCCGGAAGGAUUUGCCCGGCUUGGUUAUCACGGGCUUGGGCUUGCACGUGUACAUCGAUCCGCGCAUGUUCUCACAAAUGCCUUCUUUACAGACACCGGGUUCUUUGCACAUAUCAGCUUCUACACAACCCCCUCGAAGGUACGGAUUCCCUGUGAAGCCCACCCCCGGCUCGAGCCAUUCAAGCUAGGGAGGAGAUUCAUCUCUUCAAUACGAUAUAGGAAACGUUUCCGGAGAAUCAUCGUCUAGCUACGGACUCAUUUCGUGGUGGUCGGAUUCGGCGUGUCGACGGACAGCAGCUUUUUUUUUUUUUAAUCUUCUUCUCCACCUCUUCCUCUUUCACCGGUUCGUUUUUAGAAGCCUUCACCUACUUUUGAUCCUAUUUCCUCAGCUAUUGCCACGAUAUUCUGAUUGUGUAAUCCUUAGAUUUUGAUCGCCUCAUUUCCUCGAAUCACUCUUUAUCCAAAUGUUCAUUGACGACCGCUCGUUGUUUUGAUCGAUGCGAUGGAUCCAAGCUUGGUUUGUUGUACCUUUGACGCUAAUUCAAAAGACUAAUCUCGUUUCGAAAUUGGUUAAUCUCCUGGCGAGAUAGAUCAUAGAUUUGAAUACGUUGCUCUAUAAAUGGCUUAUGAUUGAGAAUCUGAUUGGAUCUUCUCUGUCAUUGUGUCAAUAUUGCAGGUCUGGUUAUCAAAGCCAUGGCUCUUGAUGGGAUUGUUGUAUCUUCACCAUCGAGGAGAACGCAGUCUCUAAAGAGGCAGUGGGAAGAUUUGGGCAGCUGCUCCACGGUUAUCAAGAGGCAUCGAUAUCUCUUAACAGCUUUGGUGCUUUUGGCCUUUCUCUGCACUGUUUAUCUAUACUUUGCUGUCACUCUAGGCGCUAGGCACUUGUCGUGCUCUGGCUUGACCGGUAAAGAGAAGGCAAUGUGUCAAUUACAACAUGUCCAGGCUCUCUCCAAAGGGAAGCUGAAAGUUUUCUAGAGUGUGUCAUCGAGAGCCAAAGCUGAGAAAGCGCAACAUGAUUGCUCUCUUGCCCUACUACAUUCUUUUUUUUUUUUUGUGAUUCUAUUGUGACAUUUGUGUGUAUUAUAUUAUUACUUUGUGAAAAUACCAGAGAUUUAUAAUCGAAACAUAAUUCAUUUUUGUUCAUUAAUGAAAAAUUAAAGGAAGUUUCUUACAGGUUUCUUACACUUAUUGACCUUAGUGUUCCCCAAUGACUAUGUUUUCUUGAUUUGCAUGGCUUGAGAAGCCUUCAUGAUCUUCUUCAUUGUUUAUGAAAUGUAGUUUUAGAUCUUCAGGUGAUGAACGGAUCCUCUCCAGCUCAAUCGAAACCUCUCUCAUGUUUGGCCGCUUCCUUCCUUUCCGGCUUAGACACCUUCCAGCGAGUUCUGCGACUGCCAUCACUUGGUCCAGCUUGCUUUCCUCUUUGAUCCGAUCAUCAAUGAUGUCGACCACUCUGUUUUCUUUCAUGGCCUCAAUGAAAUAAGUUGCUAAGCUCUUUCCUUCUUCAGACCGGACACGAGACAGUGGUUUUUCUCCGGUUAUGAGCUCCACCAAGACAACCCCGAAGCUGUAUACAUCACUCUUGUCAGUAUAUUGGCUUGAUAGGAAGUACUCUGGAUCCAUAUAUCCGAAAGUGCCUGCAACUAGCGUUGUCAAGUGAGUUUGAUCUACUGUUACCGAUCUUGAAGUUCCGAAAUCAGAAACCUUGGCUCGGUAUUUCUCAUCCAAUAGUAUAUUAGUAGUCUUGAUAUCUCUGUGGUAUAUUGGAAACGAUGAAGCUGAGUGCAUGUAUGCAAGUGCUCCAGCAAUCUCCACGGCUAUGCCAAGACGCACUUCCCAAGUCGUGUUGUAAUCAUCAGAUUCAUCAUGAAGACGCUUGAACAGAUCUCCAUUGGGAAUAUAUUCGUAAACCAAAACCGGAACUUCUGUCUCCAAGCAACAUCCCAAUAGUUUCACAAUGUUCCUGUGGUUUACCUGUGAGAGAAGGACGACCUCAUUGAUGAAACUAUCCAGCUUAUCUUCAUCCACAAGUUUUGACUUUUUAACCGCAACGAUCCUGCCAUCCACCAGCAUUCCUUUGUACACAGUUCCUUGACCGCCUUGCCCAAGCACCCUCUUCACGCUGAAGUUAUCAGUGGCUUUCUCCAAUUCUUUUGAGCUAAAUAUCCUCGACAUAUCUACAUUUCCAUCAUCUGUAGUAGUUAGUUGUUGUUUCAACAACAAGCCUCCAUUACGUUUGAAGAACUUCCUCCCACGAAUGAUCCUCCUUCGCUUCCUUAUAAGUAUGAACAACCAAAAGAUCCCACCAACUAAAAACAUUAGUCCCAACACACCAAUUAGAACCCCUGCAGCAUAAAAGGAAACACAUAAGUAACACUACUUUCUCUUCAGCCUUGUAAUCUACAAGAUGCAUUGGAACUCACCUCCAAGCAGGAAGGAUUUGCCCGGCUUGGUUAUCACGGGCUUGGGCUUGCACGUGUACAUCGAUCCGCGCAUGUUCUCACAAAUGCCUUCUUUACAGACACCGGGUUCUUUGCACAUAUCAGCUUCUACACAACCCCCUCGAAGGUACGGAUUCCCUGUGAAGCCAAUGGGGCAAUAGCAGUUCCUAUAACUCAUCUCGUUAAAGUAACCAUACUCACAAAGACAUCUCGUAUCAGAGUCGUAAGAGCCGUAAUGGGUCCAAUUUCUGCAACCUAAGGGGUUGUUUCUAAACUGAGAAUCCGAAGUAUCAAAGUACCAGCCGAGCUCCACCUCCGCGUAGCCACCAGCGUGGAACUGUUCUGGUGCAGUGACAUUUGAGGGUGAGUAUCUUUUGUCAUUCAAGAAGGCAACUCUGCAGCCUUCUCCUCCUGUGGGAUCUAUAUCCACACCUAUGACUUGUGGACGGUCCAGUGGUAUCCUUGUCUGGCAGCAUUUGUAGCCGUCACAGAUUGAGUCUGUUACUUGUUGACCACUCUUGCUUUCUAUACAGCUCGAUUCACAACCCAAGAUCUCUGAGUCGAUACCCGUCAUCAAGGCCUUUGUACCGCAGCCAACCGCCACAAGGCGGUUGUUAUCUGUGAUGAAGUAAGGGCUGCCUUUGCCUGUGACGUUCAAAUCUGGUCGGGACUUUUUGAGUCCUUGACUAGUGUUACUAGAACAAUCCAAAGAAGUCACAGGACCUUUGAUGAGAACCACUCCGUAUGGUUUAUCUCCAUCUGGAAGAGAGAUGUUGACCACUUCAGUAUUGAUCCGUGAGAGGAACGGAACGGUUGUUCGGGAAGUGGUGGCGUUGCAGACAACCUCGUACCAGUUGUUGAGAUAGCAAUCCUUGCCGCCGAUUCCAAAAGGGAACGGGAUCGAGACUCCUCCACAUGUUUUGUUACAAGAAGUUGGAGAGUUACCAUUUUGAGAUGUUGCUGCUGAUGAGCCAUUGAUGAGCAAAGUAAGGGCAGAUGCUAGAAUACAUAUGAAGUUGUAAGUCUUUCUCUUCAUAAUUCCUUUUUUUUUUGUUUCUUGAUUUGAUCAAUCUCAGUAUUCAAGAACCAAUAAGUUUAGAAAGAAGUGUGAAGGAAUGUACAAAGCAUUCAAAAACAGGUCAACAUGCCAUGAGGGCUUAUAUAAUGAAUUAAUAACAGAAGGUUGGAUUAUAAGAAUCCAGUCUUUAUUCUCCCUACCAUAUGAAAGUACUCAAAGUAGACCGAACCUAUUAUAUACAUUUGACCAUCGUCACCAUGUUCAUUCAGGAUACAAAACAACGUUGACCAGUAAAAUGUUAACUAAAAAGUCAAUGUAUACAUGACCAGUCAAAUGUAAUCAAGGUAGUGGCCAUGGCCGUCACAUGGAUAAUGAAUUGAUAACGUGAAUACUCCAUAAUGCUUAAUGCAACAUGAAAAUAAAUAUGUGUGCGUUAUUACAUAAAUCAAAUUUUUUUUUUCAUCAUGAGGGUUUUAUUAUACAUUUGUAGUGUUUUUAAGUCGAUGAUCAUCACCAUGUACGUAGAGGAACCAGAGGCUCAGCAUCAGACGUUGGAGAUGCACUACUAAAGAUGGAAGCUGGAGCAGUCACCUCAAAGUCCCAACUCUCAUCAACGUUAAGUUGCAUGGUUUCAUCCUCUUCGUCAUCGUCUUCCUCAAUAUGAACCUCUGAAUCAUGAGUUGCUGAACGAAUCUUCUCCAGCUCAAUCCAAGCCUCUUUCAUGUUUGGCCUCUUCUUCCCUUUUCGGUUUAAACAUCUCCUAGCUAGUUUCGCCACUGCCAUCACUUGGUCCAGAUUGCUUUCAUCUUUGAUCCGAACGUCAACUAUGUUCAGAACUUUGUUCUCUUUCACGGUGUUGACAAAAUGAGCUGCAAAGCCUCUGUUGUCAUCAGACAAGACACGUGAGGACGGCUUAUCUCCGGUCAAAAGCUCCACAAGGACGAUUCCGAAACUAUAAACAUCACUUUUCUCUGUAAACUUGCUCGAUUGAAAAUACUCUGGAUCCACAUAUCCAAAAGUACCAGCAACCUGAGUCGUCAAGUGAGUUUGAUCUAUGGUUACGGAUCUCGAAGUUCCAAAAUCCGACACCUUAACUCUGUAUUUCUCAUCUAAUAGUAUAUUAGUAGUCUUGAUAUCUCUAUGAUAUAUAGGGAAAGAUGCAGCAGAGUGCAAGUACGACAAAGCUCCUGCAAUAUCUACAGAAAUGUGAAGACGCACUUCCCAAGUCAUCUUGAAAUCAUCAGACUCAUCACGAAGACGCUUGCAUAAGUCUCCAUUUGGAAGAAACUCAUAGACCAAGAUCGGAACUUCCGUCUCAAGACAACAUCCCAAGAGUUUCACAAUGUUUCUGUGGUUGAUUUGUGCGAGAACAACGACUUCAUUGAUGAACUCCUCUACCUUGUCUUCAUCCAUGGCUUUUGAUCUCUUCACUGCCACGAUUGUGCCGUCAACUAGCAUACCCUUGUACACAGUCCCCUGACCUCCUUGCCCAAGAAUACGAUUCUUGUUAAAGUUAUCAGUAGCUUUCUCCAACUCGUUCGAGCUAAAUAUCCUGGACAUCUCUACAUUUCCUUCUUUUCUAGCUAACUGUUGUUUCAACAACAUGCCUCCAUUACGUCUGAAGAACUUCCUCAUUCGGUUAAUCCUCCUCCUCUUCUUAACAUACUUAUACAACCCGAAAACUCCAAUGGCGAAAAGCAAUAGUGCCGAACCUAUAAGAACACCUAUACCAACAACAAAAUACUAAAAUGUAAAGAAACAAAACGCUCAAGAAUAGUAACUCAAGUUGACUGUUACCUUGAAUCACUGGCUUGAGUUGUUCUGGUUUCCUGGGCUCACAUUCAAACCAACCGGGCCUGUUCACGCAACUUUGGUCUUUACACUUUUUGCGUCCUUCUUCUAGUUUACAUUCAUCAAUGUCUGCAUAUUUUGUACAUAGUUAGCAACAAUCUUAUUGAUCACACAAAAUAGGAUAAGAUUUUAAAAAAAAAACACCAAUAUCUUACCUACACAACCACCUGGAAGGAAUGGGUUCCCUGUGUAACCCAUAGAGUUACAAUAGCAGUUUCUAUAGCUGAAUCCAUAGAAGUAGCCGUACGAGCAAAUGCAACUCGUUUCGCUCGAGUAGCCGCCAUUUUGUGAUGGAUCUGACACAUUCAGACAACCAACAGGGUUUGGAACACGUGUAUCAGAAGUAUCAAAGUACCAUCCUAGCUCGACCACCGCGUACCCAUCACUAUGAAACUGUUCUGGCUCUGUAACAUUCACGCUAGAAUACUUCUCGCUUGUAAGAAAAGCAACAUUGCAUCCUCCUUCUCUUGUGUUGUUGUUACCUUCAGGGAUCUCCAAAUCAACUCCUAGAACUUGCGGCUCCCCUUCUGGUAUCCUUGUCUGACAACACUUGUCACCACUGCAAAUCUUGUUUCUGACUUCUUGGCUACUAUUUCUUUCGUUACAGGUUGAUUUGCAACCGAUGAUCUGCGAUUUGAUAUCCGUCAUAACCGCCUUGGCAUUGCAACCAACCGCCACGAGUUGGUUCUUGUCCGUGAAGAAAUAAGGGCUGCCUUGGCCGGUGGCACUCAAAGGCGGCGGUGUAAGCGGCUGAGAUGAUCCUGUAGAACAACCAGAGGAAGUCACGGGACCUUUGAUGUGAACAACUCCAUAAGAAUAGUACACGUGAUCGUCUGGAAGAUAGAUGUUCACCAAUUCUCUGUUGAUCCUUGAGAGAACCGGAACAGAGUUGCUUUUACAGACAGCCUCGUACCACGGGUUUAGAUAGCAGUCUUUCCCUUCACCAAACGGAAAUGGAAUUGAUAGUCCUCCGCAGACUCUGUUACACGGAUCUGGAGGUUUUCUUGAUGAUGAGACGCCAUUGAUGAACAGAGAGGUCACUAGUAUAAUAACAACUAGGAGGCUGUGAGUCUUUGUCAUCAUACUGAUUAUGUUCUUGUGUUUCUCUACUUGGUCUGAUCUUCUAAAAAUCUUCUAGUAUUGUGAAAAUGGAAGGGAGAAAAGGAAUCAAGAUUCAGCAUUGUCGGAGGAGAUGAGAUUACAUGAAAUGCGUGGAGAGAGAUGCAAAAAAAGAGUUGACCGGAUUAGUAUGAUUAACCAUGCUAAAAUGGCAAUGAUAUGGCUAGUUGAUAGAUCACGUGGACUUUCUUAGUUUUGGACCAAUCAAAACCAGCAUGAAAGUCAAAUAUCUAAGUUGAAUUUAUAUCCGAGUAAUAAAUAAAAUACCAGUCGACAAAAUAUCAAAUAAUAAGGCGACGUGGCAAACGGUAGAUGACGUGGAUGUUGUGUAGAUCCCAUUUUUUAGAAAGAUCCUUAUCUGGCCCUGGCCCACAUGAAUGAGAGUGAGAGAUGGAUCAUUGUGGCUAGCGCGACAGAACCAAAAAAAAAAAACAAAAGUUGUGGCACGCAUUAUAAAACUUAGUUACUAUAACUCUAGCAACGUGUUGAAUCAUCUUUAACCGGUUCAAAUCAGUUGAUUAAUUAUCUUGAUCUCCAUGGCUUGGUCCUCUUCAUUGUCGGUAUUUAUAUGACCCUCUAAAUCCUCAUGUGAUAAACGGAUCCUCUCCAGCUCAAUUGAAACCUCUCUCAUGUUUGGCCGCUUCCUACCUUUUCGGCUUAGACACCUUCGAGCUAGUUUUGCGACUGCCAUCACUUGGUCCAGCUUGCUUUCCUCUUUGAUCCGAUCAUCAACGAUGUCAAACACUCUGUUUUCUUUAAUGGCCUCAAGAAAAUCAGCUGCCAAUCCUCUUCCUUCUUCAGACCGGACACGAGUCAAUGGUUUUUCUCCGGUUAUGAGCUCCACAAGUACAACCCCAAAACUAUAAACAUCGCUCUUGUCAGUAUAUUGGCUCGACAAGAAGUAUUCUGGAUCCAUGUACCCAAAAGUGCCUGCAACUAGUGUUGUCAAGUGAGUUUGAUCUACUGUUACCGAUCUCGAAGUUCCAAAAUCAGACACCUUGGCUCUGUACUUCUCGUCCAACAGUAUAUUGGUAGUCUUGAUAUCUCUAUGGUAUAUCGGAAACGAUGAAGCUGAGUGCAUGUAUGAAAGUGCUCCCGCUAUCUCUAUAGCUAUGCGAAGAUGCACUUCCCAAGUCAUGUUGUAAUCAUCUGAUUCAUCAUGAAGACGCUGGUACAGAUCUCCAUUGGGAAUAUAUUCGUAAACCAGGAUCGGAACUUCUGUCUCCAAGCAACAUCCCAAGAGUUUCACAAUGUUUCUGUGGUUUAUCUGUGAGAGAAGUGCGACUUCGUUGAUGAACUCUUGCAUCUUGUCUUCGUCCACAAGUUUCGAUCUUUUAACCGCAACGAUCCUCCCAUCCACCAGCAUUCCUUUGUACACUGUGCCCUGACCUCCUUUCCCAAGGACUCUGUUCACGCUGAAGUUAUCCGUGGCUUUCUUCAAUUCCUUUGAGCUAAAGAUCCUCGACAUUUCUACAUUCCCCUCCUUAGUGGUGGUUAGUUGCUGUUUCAACAGCAAGCCUCCGUUACGUUUAAAGAACUUCUUGCUGCGGAUGAUCUUCCUUCGCUUUUUCACGAGUUUGUACAGCCCCAAGACUCCGAGGACGAACAACAACACUCCUAGACCUAUAAGAACACCUACACCAACGAAGAAAGUAAACUACUUGUAGUAGUCUCGUAGAUGCUUACUUUAACUUACCUUGAAGUACAGAGGUCUUUUGAGGCUUGGUUACUUUGGGAUCACAGCUAUAUGAUCCAGGCCAGUUCACACAAGUCCUUUCUCCACAACUGUUGUGUCCUUUGCAUUCAUCUAUGUCUACACACAUAGUAAUUAAUGACUUGAUCAAUGGUCAAAGCAUGAAAAAAAAGUUAAGAAGAAACGUUCACUUUUACCUAUGCAGCCAUGUUUAACGUAUGGGUUCCCUGUGUAGCCAUUAUUGCAAUAACAGUUCCUAUAACUCAUCCCAGAGAAGUACUGAUACUCGCAACCGCAUUUAUCAAAGGACGUGUAAGAACUGAAACGAGUCAUAUUUCUACAACCUAAGGGACUCCUAAAGCAAGAAUCCGAAGUACCAAAGUACCAUCCUAGCUCUACCAACGCAUACCCCAACGAAUGAAACUGUUCUGGCGCUGUUACAUUCUUCGGCGAGUACCUCUGGUUAGUCAAGAAGGCAACUCUGCACCCUUCUCCUCCUGUGACAUCUAUAUUCACACCUAUGACUUGUGGACGUUCUAAUGGUAUCCUUGCCUGACAACAUCUGUAACCAUCGCAGACCGAGUUUGUUACUUGCUGACUACGUUUACUGUCUUGGCAGCUCGAUUCACAACCUAUCAUCUCUGAUUCUAUAUCUGUAAGAGACGCCUUGGCACCGCAACCAACCGCCACCAGACGGUUUUGGUCGGUGAGAAAAUAUGGACUGCCUCUUCCCGUGACAUUCAAACCUGGCGUUGACUUUAUCAGUCCUUGACUAGAGCAGCCCAAAGAAGUCACGGGACCUUUGAUGUGAACCACUCCGUAUGGUUUAUUACCGUCUGGGAGAGAGAUGUUCACCACUUCGGUUUUGAUCCGUGAGAGGAACGGUACGGUGGUGUUACAGACAACCUCGUACCAGUUGUUGAGAUAGCAGUCUUUCUCGCCUAUUCCGAAAGGGAACGGUAUCGAGAUUCCUCCACAGGUUCUAAUGCAGGAAGUUGAAGAGUUACCUUCUGGACGUGGAGGUGGUGGUGUUGCUGCUGAGGAUGAGCCAGUGAUGAGCUGCAGAGUUAGGACAUAAACUACAGUACAUAGAAAGUUGUAAGAAGCUGUCUUCAUACUUGUUUUUGAUUCCAAUGGAUAUUUUUUUAAUGUAAAUAAAGAGAUCUUUGAGAUAUCCUAAUUAAUAAGAAGUCCACUAACGCAUUCAAAGAAGUUUGAAUAUAGACGCGUGAAGUGUUUUCAACCAGAAAAAAAAAGUCAACUCCGUUUGGCCCUCUUUCAUUUCAAUCAUUGUCUUUCUGCAGACCGUUGACUUUUCCACUUAAUGUGUAUUCCCACCGGUGUUCGAAAAUUAGACGGAAGGUCUUUAAGAAACCGGUGAAAACGCUAACCAAACUGAUUCUUCAGUCUAGGAAUAUCCCAUGAACACUAUGGUCUAUGGUCUAUGGUCUAUGGUCUAUGGUCUUGUGUUGAGUGUUAUCCAAGUAUGUGAUUCUAGCUUCACAAUCGCGGCUUUGCUCGUGGGUGCCCAAAUAAAACAGCGCAACGUUCGUUACUAAAACGUCAAGUUGUCUGAGUACUGUUAUUACCUAUCAGCAAGGAGCUCCAAUUUAGGUUAGCAUUUAGUAAUAGACACCGUAGUCACCAAGCCCGUCUAGCUCAGUUGGUAGAGCGCAAGGCUCUUAACCUUGUGGUCGUGGGUUCGAGCCCCACGGUGGGCGUAUUGUCUUUUUUUUAAUGUCAGCCAAUUGCGUUUUUUCCCCUAACCUUGUCGGUUUUUCCCCACGGUGGGUGAUGUUGGAGGAUGAAUCGGCUACAAGAACGCUCCAAGAAUCUCGAACAAUCAUCUCUAAUGGUGUCAUCAUCGUCUCCUCGUUAUAAACCUGGACCUGUGAGUCUCGAAUCCUCUCCUGUUCCAUAGAGACUUCCCUCAUAUCAUAUUAGGCCGUUUCUUACCGUUCCAGUUCAGACACCUCCUCGUAAGGUUUGCCACACCAGUGACUUGUUCCAUGUUGCAGCUAUCUUUGAUUCGGGCAUGGAUAAUGUCUAAGAGCUUAGUUUCUUGCGUCGCAAGAAUAAAAUAAGUUGCUAAAAUUCUAUUCUUUUCAGACCUCAAGUGGGAAACUGGUUUUUCUUCAGUGAUGAACUCCACGAGCACGACUCGAAGCUGUAAACAUCGCUCUUGUCCGUAAACUGGCUAGACUGGAAAUACUUUGGAUCCACAUGCUGAUGAAAACCUCUCCCUCUUGUGCUGUAGGAACCACGUCCACGUCCUCUUCGACCACCACGACCUCGAGAGGAGUAGUAGUUGCCUUGCUGAUUUGUACGGACAGUCGGAAAGGCCAGAUGAGGGGUGACUUCUUGACCACUGUUGUAACCUUGAAGUCUAUCAUCGAAUGCUACCAGACGCGGAAAGAUAGAUUCAAACGUUGGAUGUGGAACAAUAUCUAUAGAGCCUUCAUAGUCACGUCCCAAACCUCGAAGAGCCGAGAAGAUCUUCAUGGCUUCCGUCAUAGGAGCACCAAUAGAGGCAAGUUGAUCACUCAGAGAUUUGACCUCUUGAAGAAAGUCGAACAUCUUCUUUCCACCUUUUGACAAAGUUUGCAUCUUGUGUUGAAGUUCGAACAGGCGAGAGUUGGAGGGUCUGUUGAAGUGAGUCUCCAGCGUGGACCAGAUCUCACUUGCUGUUGUGCAGUUCACCACCAUGGAUUGAAGAGUAUUUGUGAUAGAUCCAAGAAGCCAUGACUGAACAACUUGGUCGGUUUGAAACCACAGCUCAUGGUCAGGGUUUGGAACCGGGGUAGAUGUGCCAUGAAUGGUUGGAGCCAUGAUGGUGGUAACUGGUUGUGGGAUGGUACCGGUGACAAAGCCAAACAGCCGUUGACCGCUAAGAAAAGACUGAAACUGACGUUUCCAAAAGAAGAAGUUUUGCUCAUUGAGCUUUACGUUAACGCAGUGGAUAAUAUUUAAGCGAGGAGGGUCAUAAGGCUCAAGAUCCAUGGUGGAACCGUGUGCUCUGAUACCAUGAACGCGUGAGCUAACAAAGAUAGGUUUAUGAACUUUCUUUUAUUACUUUGAACCUUAAGUCUCUUACAAUGAUUACAAUUGCUUUAUAUAGAGAACUUAGACUAGGGUUUUGCUCUUAGGCUACUUCGUCCCCUAGUGCUGCAUAACGGUUUUGGACUAAGACAACAUGUGCUUGACCAGCUGGCUUGUCCUGUUGCUUUUGCUUUCCGUAUUUACCAACUUGAUCUUUAACUUUGUACUUUGUUUUGUCUUGUUUGCAGGUAGAAGACCGUUGAGAAGAAGAUUGCAAUUUGGACUUCUCCAAACUGGGCUGUGAUUCUUGUCUGAACUGGUAAAUGGGCUUCGCUGAAACUGAGCUUGAGCCACUUGUGAUGAUACCACAUACCCAACAGUACCUGCAUACCCAACAGUACCUGCAACCAGGGCUGUGAGAUGUGACUCUAACCUAGUAAUAGUUCUGACCCCAACAAUUUCAAUCGUGCUAGUAAUAGUUCUGACCCCAACAAUUUCAAUCGUGCUAAAUAUGACCAAUAAUUGAUUUUCUUUGAUGGGACAAGAAGCAGAAGUAUUAAUUCAAUGAAUCAGAUCAAAAGUCUGGACUCAGGAUUCAUUUAUACAAAGGGUGACCCGUUUCUUAAGUGAAUCCAUCUUUAUUUUGACUUCUUCAUGCGUGUACAACAGAGUCACACUAGUUUUAAAUCAUCUACUUACAAAAUAUUACUCAUAUCCAUAAGAACUCACAAACAGCACAGGCUCUUGCUCUAUAUCACUUUAAGCUCUCUCAGCCAUUCGGUGUGGAGCGGACAAGGAUCAGGUUUCCCUUCUGCAUUCGCUUUCUCUGAGAGCGAAUAAAACCAACCAUUCCUCCAUUUAAACUGCAGUAAUCAACAAAAACUAGAUGAGAUAUAUACUGGUGCACACAUAUCCAACGAGAGAGCAUACAUACUUCUUUAACAGCGGUCGGGAAAUGAGCAACAGCUCGAGAAUAAGCGCACAGUCUCUCCACCAUAUCCUCUUCAAAGGUCAGUCCUUUCUCUGCAGAUGCAGCAGCUGCAAGUUCUUGGAUCAGUCUUGACACCUGGAUGCAAUAUGUUAAAUCAGAACCAAACCCUGAUUUUUGAAUGCUUAAAACGAAACCAAGGAGUAGAAAGCUUCCGUACUUCAUCUCUGUACUCGUUCUCCACCGUGCCCACACUUGCUCCUGGGUGACGAGCUCCAACAAGCAUAAAGGCGCAAAUCCAAAUGAGUUUCUCCAACAUCUGCUUCUGAAACGAUUCUUUGUCAAGAACCUAAACCAAAGAGAACACCAUUUAGAUGAUCAUGUUUAUACAUUGUAGAAGAAGACAAGAAGGUUUUGCUUCAUGUAACCUUGCAAGAGAGGCCACCAGAUUGCAACCUUGCAGCUACAGCAGAAGCCCAUUUUCCAUAAGCAGCAGUUAAACCUUCAGGGUUAGUGUCAGUCUUUCCAUCAACGGGAGGCUCACCAAGCUUUGACACAGCGAAAUAAGCCAACACUUGGUCUGUAUCAACCAAACCUUUGCUCUCAAACCAAGGCUCCAUCAUUCCAUUUUGGAAGAACACCAAAUCUGAUUAAUUAAACACACAUAACAGUUUAGUACUUAGUUUUGGAGUUUUCACAUAUUUUUAGAAAUUUUUUUAUAAUACCGAGAUAACCUUAUUUUAGUACAUAAUUUACACAAAAAAUUAUUAUAUAUAAUAAUUCGCUUAAUUAAUAUGAACAAAAUAGAUAAACUAGCUAUAAAAUUACAUUAAAAACAGAAAAACUAAUAUAUAUAUAUUUUUUUGGUAAUCAAAUAUUUUAUGAAACAAAUAAAAAUUUCAGAACUAUUAUUUUCUUGGGAACGGAAAGAGUAAAUAACAAAGUCAUGAAGCUGAGAGUAAAGUUUAAACCUUUCCAUCUAGACUGAGGAGUAGCUUCAAGAACAGCAUCAAGAUCAUCAUUCCUCGUACAAACGAAAAUGGGUCCUUCGAAAUCAACAGGAACUGGUUCUCCUCUCUUCACCAACAAGUCAUCGCCACUACCCAUCUCCUGCAACGCUCUUCGACUCUCCCGUCGCCUACGAUCACAGCAGGAGCCACCUUUUUAGCGGUGGAAGCAGAGGAGGCCAUAGCCACUGGCACGACGAGUUUAAGAGAUUCAGAGCGACGGGGGAGAGAGAGGCGAGUGGGAAUGGAGGAGGAGAGAGCAAACAGAGUGGUGCUGGCGUUAGCCAUUGGCGAUGAUAAUGAGCUUUUCUGACAAAUGUUGUCGGCCUCUCUCUCCCAUGGUUUACGUAAAGAGCGAUGGUUUAUUAGCCACUCGAUGUUUUGAUAGCUUAUCUCGGCUUUGGAUGACUCACGGAUCCAAAACGGCAUGACGUUCAGUUUGAUAAAAGAGCAAACAGUAAGUAGUUGAGAGAUGAUGCGUAAACCGGUUGAACCGGUCCAAAUCCGCAUCAACAAAAUGUGACAAAACCGAAUUUGUACCAAACCAAUCAUCACAAUCGAAUUUUCGAACAUAGUUCCUUGCGAUUGUAUCUCUUUAUAGGUCCAGCAAGUAAGCAAACUACCAGUUGAUUGGCUUGAGAAAAAGGAAAAAGUUCAAAACCUAUCCUCAAGGAUACCACACUACAACAAAGUAAGUCUCAAGUUAUACAGAGCCCUAUCAUUUGCAUUUAACCACAUAAUAUCGUUUGAAUUUAAUCUCUCAAGUCUGCCAUCAUUCACUUAAAGAAUUUUGCAAUUCCGAAACACAUGCUUGAUUCUAUAUGGAAAAUAGUGUAACUUCUGUUCUAGCUAACAAAAACAUUGCCCUAUUGUUACUUCUCAAUCUAGCAAUCAAGUCAGAAACAAAACGAGACACAUCCUGCAUGUCCAGACACCAUCAGUCUCUUCUAGGCUACCUUCAAAUGCUUGUCUUUCCUGAAGAAAAACAUCGCACACAAGGAGACAAUUUGUCCAACAAUGUAGCCUCCUAUAGCUCCAUAACACACACAUAUAGGCCACUCCUGUUUAGAUGAGCAACAAUAGAACGAUUAAUUCUCCACCAUCAUAAACCAAGAACAGCUCUAUUGGAUGUAUAUCGGGAAAAAAAGAACUAGUACCUGCCAUGGCCUUUCCCAGUCGAGCGGCAUGGGCCAAGCUCCAAACCAUCCUCCAAUAAUUGUUCCAUAAGCUGGAAUAAAGAUCAUAUAUUCUACAUUUCCACUUGGUCUAUACGAGACAAAAAAAAUAACACGAAUUAGGAACAGAAAUUAAUGUGAAGAAUGUAAAAAGGGUAAAAUAUAUAAGUUACUUCAUCGAAGCGAAUAGACGAUGCCAAUCUGUCCAUGAUGCACCAAAAACUGCAGUGGCUGGUACAAACUAUGAAAUUCAAAAUUAUUAGAGACAAUCAAAGGUUUGUUCCAAACUGCAGACAUCUAUAUACAUAUGCGCAGUAUCAACAUCAUUGCUUCUUUUAAAGUCAUAGGAAAUGCAGCAGCAGCAGCAGCAGCAGAGAGGCAGCUUACCGUGAAAACAGACAUCAGAAAGGACCAGUGAACUGUUCUUGGUAGAUAUCUGCAUGUGAUGAGAGGCGAAUGAUCAUGUCAGCAUUAGCUCUAUAUCUAGAAGGGUGAUCACAAUCAAAGGAGUCUAAUUUGUAACCGAAAAAGGAAACAAGAUGGUGGUGAAAACAUACUGCAUUCCAAUAGGUGCACCCAAAGAAAUUGCUCCCAAAGCAUUCAGAAAAGCCCCUGUUAAUAAAAACAAAAAAAACAAAGCCUUGAAGAACUCACAAGUCACAGUUAAGGGAUGAUGCUGAAAACAGCAGAUUCCGAUCCUUCUUAGAUUUGACUAACAAGAAAAGCUAACACAUAUUGCCAGAGUUUGAUUGCUUAUGUUCAUGUAUUAUUGCAAAAGAAUAAAGAAGUACUAACUAUAAUAAGUUUCAAAGAAGAAAAAAAAUACUAACCACAAAUAAGUCCUAAUAUGCUUCGUCCAUAGGCUCUAAAACACUGGAAAGCAAUUAGGAAACCAUUAAGAGAGAGUAACUUAAGCACAAGAAACCCAAACGCAUUGGUGCCUUUUCUUCUCAAUGCAAAAGGAAACAUACUUCUUCAGCUUCUGUAAUUUCAAAGUGAAACAUUAUAAUAAAAGAAACCAUCUUUCAGUAGAAAUGAAGUAUACUCACCGAACAUUUCUCUGGGGCUUUCCGGAGAAAGCUGUAGAUGAUUACCACAACCGGAAACUCAAUACUCUGAGAAUUAACAUCAACAACAAGGCUACAUUAACUUUAAAAAAUCAAUUUGAAAACAUGUGAAGUGGAGUACAGUACCCAGAGGAGAAAGAGAGUGAGAGAUGGAUCGGAGACGAGAUCGACGGAGAAUUUGUUUCGAGCCACCCAGAAUCCAACGGCCAGAAACAAUCCAGUAAUCAAAUAAACAAAAAACGCCCCCAGAGCUGAUAUCGAAAGGUCGUUAGAUACACCAACGGAGGUAUCUAACUUCUUCUUAGCUUCCUUCAUGGCUUUCGCUUCUCUCUUCUUCGGGAUCAGGACGAGUGAAGAGGAAGACGUAGAAAACUGUUUGGGCCUCUUGAUUUACAUAUGUGCUUUAAUGUAAAACUAAUGGGCCUCUUGGGCCUACAUAGCCUGAUAAAUAUAUCUGAAACAUUUUUUUUUUUUUUUUUUUUUAAAUUGUAAAUAUCAUUAGUUAAAAUGAGCAGUUUGUCUCUACAAUGGAAAGACUUUUACAUACAUCCUUCUUGGCAAAAAUUAAAUAAAAAACAAGAAAGGGAGUAGUUAUAGGCGGUUGAGAAGAGUCGUUCAUCUGAUCCAAAGCGCCAUGAGGUUGUUGAAGUUGCGUUUGUUGCGCCGAGCGGUGGUCGUGUUCCUCACAUCUCUGUCCAAUAAUUUGAAUGUUUCGGCUGAAGAGAGAUGGGUAUUGUUAUGGAGAAAAUUAUUCCUCUGUCUCCAUACGUGGUAUACAAGAACGUGGGUGACUAGUCUUCGCAGGGUAGAUGGCGCUGAUGGCGAUUGGACUCUACACCAAGAGAGCAGCUCAGCCCAAGAUAUGAACGGUGGCUGUCGAGGGGAGAGCCUUGCGAAGACUGCAGCCCAAAGGUACACAGCAAACCUGCAGUUCAAAAGGAGAUGGUCCCCGGCUUCAUCUGCGGAGUUGCAUAGACUGCAUGUAGUGGUGAUGUUCAGACCCCAAGAAGCCAGGCGAGUUUUUGUCGGGAGCCUGUUGAGUGUAGUGAGCCACAUAUUAAAAGCUUGCUUGGGAACAGCACCUUUGAACCAGACUGUUGGUGCCCAUGCUUUAGUUGAUUCUCGAGGCCUGAUCGCCUCCCAAGUUUGAGAGGAGGAGUACCCAUUGCAGAUCGAACCAUUUACUUUCCAGUUGUAGGAGUCGUUUGUGUCUGUGCUCCUCGGGGGAGAGACAGAUGUGAGGGCAAUGUGAAGUUGGAGAGCCUUUUCUGAUCUAGCGUGAGGGAGAUCCCAAGAUGUUACAUUAGACACAUCAGCAACCUUUGCGUUCAAGGGAAUUCCGAGUUCGCUGGGGCCACCUUCUCCAAACAGUUCUACCAGCGGACCAGUUGGUAGCCAUGAGUCAAACCAGAAACUGAGUACGCGGCCAUUACCUAGAUUUCCAUGGAUAAAGCGUGAAGCUAUAAGGGCGGAGAUUAAGGAGCGUUUUCCAGGUCCAAGAAUGGGUGUUAGAUUGGGCUAUAGUCCAGAAGUUCCUUUGGCUAAGAUGGUGACGUUUAUGCCAUGCUGCCCAUAGUGAGUCCGAGUUCGAGAAAAGAAGCCAGAUGAAACGAAGGCACAGCACUUUAUUCCAAAUGGCGUAGUUUCUCAGCCCCAAACCCCCUUCAGCUUUAGGUAAACAAACCACAUUCCAGUUUACCUUAGCCCCUUUCGCUAAUUCGAUUUGUCCAGACCACAAGAACCUUGAGCAGAGGCGUUCAAUCUUCUUAACACAACCUUUGGGGAGCAUGAAUGUUGAGCACCAAAAGUUGACUGAACCAGAGAUUACAGUGGAUAUGAGAAGCAAUCUGCCUGCAUAUGACAAUGUUUUAGUCGCCCAUCUUCUGAAUUUUCUGACAAUACUAUCCAGCAGCGGUUCAUAUUCUGAUAUUCUCAGUUUACGAUGCAUAAGAGGUAAACCGAGAUAUCUGAUAGGUAGUGAACCAAUGGGAAAUCCAAAGGCUGCAAUUGCGGUGGAUUUGACUUGGUUCAGACCAGCGUGAAACAACUCCGUUUUGUGUCUGUUCAUAUACAGACCGGACCAACUUGCAAAGUCGUCUAGCGUUUCAGUAAUUCCAUGGAGUGAGUUGCUUGUUCCAUCAAAAAAUAUCAUCACAUCGUCCGCAAACAUUAAGUGUGAGAUAUUGAGCUCAGCGGUACCUGGAUGAUAAUUUAUAGAGCCGUUCUCAAAUCUAGAGGUAAGUAACCGGGUGAAGACCUCCAUUGCGAGGACGAACAGGUAUGGAGACAGCGGGUCUCCCUGCCGCAGCCCUUUUGAGCUUUUGAAGAACCCUGAGCUGCAACCAUUAAUCGCUAGCGUGAAAGAAGCUGUGGAGAGGCAUUGAUUAAUCCAAUUGAUGAACUUCUCCGGAAUCCCCAGGGUCUCCAAUGCAGCGAGUAUGAAAUCCCAUCUCACUGAGUCAAAGGCUUUACGUAAGUCCACCUUUAGCAUUCCUCGAGGACUGAUGUUUGAUCUGUUGUAGCCCUGAAUUAUUUCGGUAGCGAGGAGCACAUUCUCAGAGAGUAAGCGCCCUGGCAUGAAAGCUGAUUGAGAUGGGGAGAUGACCUGAUUAAGCACAUCACAUAGUCUUUUGGCCAGUAGUUUAGCUAUUACUUUGUAAACUGUGUUAAGACAGGCUAUGGGCCUGAAGUCCACUGCUUAAGUAGUUGGGAUCUUGGGAAUCAGCACGAGGGUGGUGGCGUUCCACUGCUUAAGUAGCUGACCAGAAGAGAAAAAUUCUGCUACUGCCUCACAAACCUCCGCUCCAACAAUAUUCCAGCAACCUGUGAAGAACUCAGCUGAGUAUCCGUCGGGACCACAAGUUUUAUUAUGCGGGAGAGAGAAGAAAGCUUCCUUGAUUUCUACUGCAGAGAAAGGCCUUUCGAGGGCAGAAGCUUGAGUUGAUGAGCAUCUGAAGGGUAGGAGCAGAUCAAUGUCGCUCUGCACAAACAUUUUCGGUAAGACCUCUCCACCAAGGAGGUUUGAGAAAUACUCCACACAAAUAUUGUUGAUGUCUUCUUGAUUUUCCCAUUUUACAUCUUGAUCAUCCAAGAGAAAGUGAAUGUGAUUAGCUGAUUUCCUCAAGGACAUCAUCCAGUGAUAGAACGAAGUGCUGCUAUCUCCUACUUUCAACCAUGUAACUCGGGACCUCUGAUAUAUCUGAAACAUUGCGAGUGCGUUUGAGGAAGGAGCAAGUGUGAGCGAGGACCAAAGACAACGAACCUUUGAGGUCAAAGGCAUUCCUCCUGCUCCACUUGGAGCUCCUCAAAUCAAUGUUUCUGCUUUUACAUUGAUGCGGAUUGGGAUCUUAAACGUGUCGGAUGAGGACAAUGAUACAGAUAAAGAGAUGAGGCGUGACGUGGAAGGCAAGUUACAAGGGAACGAGUAAACGAGGGACACGUGUAUAGUUCGUUAUAACGGUUGUAACGGUAAAAGAGUAUAUAACUCUGUUACUGCAUCACUUUUGGGAUUAUCGAAAUUGUAAGUAAGUUUUCUUCUUGAUUCUUGUAACUCUUCUGAGAGAUUCUUUGUUCAUGAAGUUUUAGAUUCUUUCUUCAAUCCAGAAUCUAUACUCUUGAGCUGCAAGCUAUUGUUUUUACGAACGGUAGUUUGAUCAAUAGAGAGAACAUACGUUAUCUCUAUCAGUGGUAUCAGAGACCGCUGGCGUGAAGAACAAGAUCACGAUCACGAAUGAUAAGGGAAGGUUGAGUAAAGAGGAGAUAGAGAAGAUGGUGCAAGAUGCUGAGAAAGUGUAAGGCGGAGGAUGAGCAAGUGAAAGAAGAGAGUGGAGGCCAAGAACUCGCUGGAGAGCUAUGCUUACAACAUGAGGAACACUGUUAAGGAUGAGAAACUUGCGCAGAAGGUGGGAUCAAGGGGAUAAGAAGAAGAUCGAGAAGGCGAUUGAAUGGAUUGAAGGAAACCAGCUUGUGGAAGUUUAUGAGUUUUGAGUAUAAGUUGAAGGAGCUGGAGGGUGUUUGUAAUUAGAGCGGUGGAGAGUGCGCAAAGGAAAGUGGUUAUGGACGACAUGUGUUCUGGUAGUGGAACCAUUGAAAGUAAUUUAGUUGUAUGCUUCACUCAUUUCAGAAAAGUAAUAAAACAUAUUUUCUCAAAAGUUUAAUUUGCCAUUGACAAGUUUAGUUUCACACUUUUAGCAUUUGUUGCAUAAAUACUAUUCUCUUGAGAACAAGUUCAUCAAGCUAUACAGAAACAAAGCAUGUGUGUUAGCAUCGGUGAAUCUUCUUUUCUUGUUGGAUAUGUUUUGUCCAGGAAAAGCAAUAUAAGAUCUUUGGUGCGUCACCAAGAAAAGUAUCUACAAUCCUUCACUAGUUGUCUUGGUCCCACACACACACACACAUAUAUACACACUUUUGGCUUCGGAACAGUCGACCAUAUCAGCAAUGGAGAGAGGAUCUAUUGCAUUGUUCAUCAUCUUACUCUUUGUCCUCUGCUUCCCCAUCUCAUCAGAUUCCCAGAAGCUCAGUCCAUCAAUAAGCUUACACGACCAAGAACAAGCCCAUGGUGCUUAACCGCUCUAUAUUUAGCAUAUAUUGUUUUUAAUACAUUUAUUUAUGGCCAAAAGUAUUUACUCAUCUUCUGCCUGUUCCCUUGUAUGGCAGAGGUUACAAUCGAAGACAUAAAACGAGAAGAAGAUAAGAGCAUCGACAUCUUCCGGGUAGGGGUAGGAUCUCAUGGAGUUACAGGUGGAAAAGGUGGAGGCCGGAAAGCAUCUCCAAAACGUAGUGCCGCCAUGGAACUCCGGCCAAAGUUGUUCUUCUCCACCACCUCCCUUCUCUUUACCAGUUUCAUAAUGCUUUCACUAACUUCUGUCAACAUGUCGAUAUGAUCAUUAUGUUGUGCCUAAAUCUCUUAACUUGAGAGUUUAACAUAUGUUGUUUGAGUAUUGUAAACUUAGAAUUCUACCAUAUCUUAUGUGGAAUAAGAAGACAGAACACUGUGCAUGGAUACUAUCUCUCUACAAGUUAUGGCCCACGAGAGUGAUGCUUUCUUCCGCACAAAUAACGAUCUCUUUUGCAUUGAUUGAACGUGGAAUUAUUGUAACAAAUCUACAGACCAACCAUGAACAAUCUUUUUCCAUUCUGCAACUUCCCUCCCACACAACAAAAUGAACGGCUAAGAGGAGCUUUGUAUACUUGAAAUUAGAAGAAACCUCUUCCCAGAAGAAGAAGAAACAAGAUCUUUCUAGUCCAUCAAAAACGCUCCGCUGCAAUACCUGAUAAAAUUCCAGCACAUACUUUUCAGAAAAAAUAAAGAACUUGUUUCCGAGGCAGAGUAUCUAGUUAGUAAGUGCAUAUUGUUACCUGUUGCUGAAUCUUCCAACAGCGUCUGUAGCAUCAAGAAGAGUGUCACUGGCUUUCUCCAAAGCCAUGUAUAGCUCUUUACCUCUACUCACACGGGCGAUCACCCACGCGUUGUUCUUAGCUCUUAUACAAAUAUCCAAGUCCCUCUCCUGCCCUUUGGCACGGCUCUUUUCUAAAUCCACUUCUUCUCUGAGCUUGUUUAGCGCAAGCAGAGACUCCUGCGUUUUUUCGAAUAGUUAAGGUCGUCUUAAUCUCAGCUCUUAACUUAUAAUGUUGAAGACGUUACCUUUGCAAGUGUUGCUACUUUGCCUGAAGGAGAAGCUCUGGAAACUUCUAGGUCAGUAUCAACUACCAAGUAGCGGUAACCCUUAACAUGAUAAGCAUUCUCACCUCCCCACCCCCUUGAGAUCUUCUCUUCAAUUUUCAUAAUCCUCAGCGAUGCCUGUAAAAGAGAUAUUGUGUAUAUAUUAGAAAACACCAGAAACGAGUUUAGCCAAGAAAGAUCAAUGGGCGAUGUGCUAACCUGUUCAAUAACUUGCUGUUUCACGGCGCUUAAACCACCAUGGACAAUGUCAGUUUUAGGCAAGAGAAGAAGUGAAGUGAGACUUUUAUACUGAUAAGCGAGGAGAUACACUCUUUAGUCUGCUGAAGCCAGACUGUAGGAUUAGCAGAAUCAGGUGAACCACCACUCUCUAAACCCCAAAUAUCAGUUAUAAGAAAACCAUCUUUCCCUUUUUUCCACUUAUCAUUUUGUAGUGGCCUAAUAACAUGAUGCAUGGAAUCAAUUGAACCAAUGGGCGCCGAAGUAGAUCUAGAAGAGGUUUCAGAUGAACCAGUCCCCUUACGUAGAUGAGACCAGGAACUGGCGUCAGAGGAUAGUAGAGCUUGUGAGGUCAACCUCAUUACAGCAAAUGUAAACAAGUUGACGGUAUCAUCAGGCGAGAGAGUUGUUGAAACCAACAGAUCUUGAAAUAAGAUCAUAGAGUGGCAUCGUAAGUUCGCAGCACAUGAUUCUAGUACUUGAACAAGAGACUGCACAUCCAAAAAAAUGCUCGUCAGAUACAAAAAUAAUAAAGUGAUUAAAGCUUAAUAGAUAUGGAGAAACAAACCUGAACUUCAAGUGCAGUGUCCCUUGAUAAAGUAAGCAUUUGAACAGUUCCACGCUCACUCAAAGUAGUUUCACGGAAAUUUGGUAGCUGAAGAUUCUUCCCAACAAAAAGAUCUGCCCGAAAGAGAAAACCUUUGCAUAAGCUAUUUUACACACGAAGAACCAACUUGAGCAUAAUGCGGUUUUGCGCAAGAAUCAAAAGCAAGGGCAUUGGACACAGCAACUUCAAAGCAUUUUUACCACAGCAGCAGUCUUCCGAGCGAGACCGCUUUUGAAAUGCUGACAUUUAGUGACACAAAGUGAAAUGAAGCUGGGAAGCAGAACAAAAACUUAAUGUACUAAAUUUGGGUGAGAGUUGCUUACUGCUUAAGUAGUCUGUAAUGAAGGGAUACAACUGUGCUCGGGUAAGCCCUCCUGUUGAUUCUUUUUCAAGUAAUGCUCUAACUGACCCGUGGAACAUCACAAAGAGUGAGUGCACUUCUUUAAGCAUUCCCCUAAGUGCUUCAAUCCUCCAUAUUGCUCCUGUAUCCUUGUUUUUCUCCACAACCUGUCAAUGUCUCUAGAUCAGAUUUUGUUCAUUGACUAAAGACUACAUUCGACGAAUCACUCAUUCAAAGAUAAAAGAGUGUCUUACCAUCACCAUCCAGAUAUCAGGUUCAGGCUCGUAGAAAACAUGAGAAUGUCUUUCUGCUUCUAUAACCUCACAAGCUGCCUCCGGGGAGAAAAGUCUGCAUUCAUACUCACAAGAUUCAUACAGACUCAUAUCAACUAAUGCGAAACAAAUCAAGAAGAGAGUAUGUAGAAGCUGACCUAGUAAAAGUGAUAAGACCUUCGCUGAGGCCGGUAACUGAUAGCUGCGUAGAGACGUCUAGCUCAGGUGGAUGAAAGAAGAGAAUCUUGUCAAGCUCCUGACCUUCGGUUUGGCCUCUCCUCAAAUCAAAGACGCAAAGUCGAAGGCUUUCAUCACCAGAGCUCAUCGACGCCAUUUCCCCGUAAGCUUCUGCGAGCUCAUUAACACUAUACCAUACAAUUCAAGGUAAGGCACAUUGGUGAUUCAAACCACUUGACAAACCCCCAAGAGAAGAAUCGUAACACGAAUUGACUACCUUGAAGAUGUUACCAAAGAAGAAAGUCGGAGUAGUGAUCAAUUGCGAUAGUCAAAGCGAUGGGAGGGAGAUUCUGAUAAAGGAAAGAGUUGACUUUUUGUAAAGAAGAUAAAUGCGAGAAGGAGAUAGAAAGAAGUUGGAUAGAGAAAAGAUGAUUGAUUAAAGGUGAGGAGGAAGAUUAAGCAGAUUCGAGAGACGCUGUCUACUCUCUACAAUGGUGUUUCAAGUUUACCUAGCCAAAAUGAAAGAGACAAGAGUCCAACUAAGCCCAAACAACCCCUCUAAGCCCAAAUAAGCGUUGUUUUUAGAGAUACGCGGUUAAAAAAAAAAGAGUUAGCGGUGAAUUUGAUUGGAAACUACAGUAAAUUAGGUUAGCAUUCCGGUUAAAAACUGUCAGAACCAGUCGAUCUCGACUGACUUUCCCCCGACCACAUUAAUUAUUUCCCAAGGGUCCAAGAUAGACUAGAUUUUAAUCAAUAACAUUUUUGAUUAAUUUUUUUAAUUUAAAAGACUAAUUUGUUUUGUCUGAGUUUUAAUAUUUGUGUUUGACAUCUAUAAUUGAGAGUAAUUUAUUUUGACGUCUCAUAGUAACGUGCGUUCAAAUUUUAGGUUCAUAUCGGUUCGAGUUUAAGUUUUCAAAUUGUUAGGCUUGGGGUUUUCGGACCCAUUUAGAAACCAUACUUUUUUCGGAUUGUUCAGGUAAUGUUGGGUUCGAGUCAUGUUUUUAUAUUUUCAUAGAACCCAAAGUGAACCUAGUUAAAAGUAUGUGUAGUUAAUUAUAAGUAAUUUUUUGAAAUUAAUUAACCGAAUAAACGUUGAACAAAUUCAAAUUGUUUCCAAAUUAUUUCCCAAGGGUUUAAGAGAGAUUGUAAAACUAGGCCUCUAUAAAGGCCCAUUAACUUUAAUGGUAUUUAAUUAACCUUAUUGAUAAAUUAAAAAAAAUAAUUUUCUUUGAAUUUUUUUAAAAAUCUACUAAAACAUAUAAUAAAGGAAAUAUAAUACAAUAUUAUUAUUAUCAACUCGCAAAAAAGAAACAAAACUAAAAAAAAAAUUAGGUGGUAGAAAUAGAAACAACAGUCUUGGGUGAUAGCAAAACUAAAAAUAGAAGAAGAAAUUUAUAAAAGGGUAACAAUAGAGACAUGGUAGCAGUUUAAGAAGGCAACAAUAGACAAGACACUUUAGACAAACCAUAAAAUAGCCAUCAUCACCAAUUUGUGUUCAUUGUGAAUUCCCGUAUGUGUAGAAUAUGUUUCCCCAAGCAUAGGUAUCAAAUCCGGUGAUCAACUAUGUGAUUGCUCGAUUUUCUUUUCCAUUCAAUUAUACAUUCAUUCCAUCAUGAUUAUUUAUAUCGCACAAGUUAUGAAAUUAUUUUAUUAAUGAGUUUACAAUUGACAAUUUGUAUAAUACUAUUUAAAAUAAUGCAAGUUAUAUCGUGAAUUGUUAGUUGUUAAUAUAAUAAUUUAUUAUUUUAUUAUUAAAAACAAUAGAUUCGUUUCGUAAAAGUAUCACAAAUUAAGAAAUAGUAAAAAGUAAUAAUAUUUUUUUUUUUAAUUUACAAUUAAUUAAAUAAAAUAGUUUAUAUAAAAAUGUAUUGAUUAUUUGAAAGAGCAAAUAAAAAAUUAAUAUGUGAAUUUACAUUAAAAUAUAAAAUGAUAGUUUUGAAACAAAACAAACAGAUCUAAAAUAAUACACUUUGUGAAAAGAAAAAGAGAGGAGUAUUUGGUUCUUAAUAAAUUUUAGUAUAGUACGUGUCUGGUUAAUUAAAACUUCUUUGUCUUGACAUACACGAGCAGACAUUCCUAAUCUAAUAAGCAUUAAUUAUUUUGCUUAAACAAUUAAGUUUACAGUAAUCAAACCCCAUCUUAUUGUCAGGUCGAGAAAAGAAAAAAACGAUGACGUGUUAAGCGGUGACUAGUGAACAACCUUUUCUUCUUCAUUUGAUUCGUUUCGUCCUCGAUGAGAAAAGCUCCUCUUCACUAUUCCAAGUUGAUUUUCAUCGCUUUCUCAUUGUUUAUAUCUCUGCUUUUUCCCGUGAACACUGUAAGCUAGAAGAUUCUUGAGACUCUGGGGAUUUAAAAGUUUCAUUUAGCUGUUAAUGUAUCUGUAAAGAGGAGAACUUUCGAUGCUAACCUCUCUCUAAAUCGAUUUUGGAAAUAGCAAGUUUUGUACUUUCAGUGUUAGAUCUGUGAAUAAUCGGAGUCAAUGUCGGAUCCACCUCGAUUCCGAUCGGUUCUUGGUCCAACCGGGAACAAGCUGCAGAGGAAGCCUCCGGGUAUGAUGAAACUAGAGAAGAAGAAGACCAUGGAGCCAAAAGAUGAGAAAACGAAGAAACCAAAAACUCCAGCUUCACCAACGACGACUCUCAAGCAAUGCUCUUCGAUGACUGCUUCUUAUUCCUCUGAUGCGUCUUCUUCUUGCGAGUCGUUGCCUUUGAGCGUGGCGUCUUCUUCGAGUUGUAAGAAGCCUGUGAGGCGAAGUGGGUCUGUCUCCUCGGCCUCUGGUACAUUGAGAAGGAAGCAGGUUGAUGAGAAAGAAGACAAGGUUGCUGCUGCUGGUGCUAGUAAUGGUGAUUGCUUCGCUGACGGUCGAAAAAGAUGUGCUUGGAUCACGCCUAAAUCUGGUGAGUAUCUCUAUGAAUGGAUUAAGAAAGUUCUAGACUUGUUAUACUAAUUGAAUUCUACAUGACAAGAGGCUAUGUUGCUCUCUAUUUGCUUCUCUUCUGUAAUGGACUAAUAGUGUUCUUCUUUCUUUUGUUCUUGUACAGACCAAUCUUAUGUUGCUUUCCACGACGAAGAAUGGGGAGUUCCUGUUCAGGACGACAAGUACGUAGCGUCCUCAACACUAUCAUCCUUUUAUCAGAGAUGCUCUUCCUAACUAUAAGAGUCUCUAACCAUUUGGGCUAUAUACUGUGUAGGAAGCUUUUCGAGUUGCUAUGUCUCUCUGGUGCUCUAUCCGAGCUCUCUUGGACCGACAUUCUCUCCAGAAGGCCAUUACUCAGGUAAUAAAACUAACUUCUUCCUAAUAAUGACAGUAUGAGCUCUUCUGAUGUCAAGAGUUUUGUAUGAGCUCUAAUCUCAGAUUUGCUUGCUUUUGUUAAAACAGGCAAGUGUUCAUGGACUUCGAUCCAGUUGCUGUUUCAGAACUGAAUGAGAAGAAGGUAGCCGCCGCUGCCGUUUCCUUACUAUCAGAGGUCAAGAUACGUUCAAUCCUCGAUAACUCACGCUAUGUGCGCAAGGUAAUAUAUAAACCUCAGACUCUUCUGAAUUUAUAGAUAUCUUCCUGGCUGUUAAUUACUGGUUUCAUCUAUAGGUUAUAGCUGAACAUGGAUCCUUUAAGAAGUACAUGUGGAACUUUGUGAACAACAAGCCUACACAAAGCCAGUUCAGGUAUGGACGACAAGUCCCUGUGAAGACAUCAAAGGCUGAGUUUAUAAGCAAAGAUCUUGUACGCAGAGGCUUUCGCAGCGUCAGUCCAACGGUUGUUUACUCCUUCAUGCAAGCAGCUGGGCUUACAAACGACCAUCUCAUUGGCUGCUUCAGGUACCAAGACUGUUGUUGCGUAGAUGCAGAGACAACAACAACCAAAGGCUAAGAAGAAGAACGGAGAGUGAUAAAUAAAUUAAAUGUUUUUUGAGUUCCAUGUUGUUUGCUUUCAGAGAUGAUUUGACACAACGAGAUUUUGCUACCGUACCAUUAAGUGUUCCUUUUUGCCUUUGGCGUUGUAUAGAUGAUGUGUUUUGGGUGAUUGGUUUAUGCAUAUAAUAAACAUGAAGCAUUGAAAGCCUUUAUACAAAAUCAAAAUCCAUCAUACGUUUUUGGCUAAAGAUCCGAGUAAACAGAGAGCAAGACAUUUUGAAACAAAGGUUUCACAUAACCAGAGACAAUAAUUAAACAUCUGGUUUAUUUUUCUAAAACAAAGGAAACGCCAGUGGCUAAGGAUAAUACACCAGGGAAUAAGUUAUUCAAGACUCGAUCUUGAUGCCAUUUUGGCUGGAUUCUUGAGAUGUUGAAGGAGGAGGGAGAUGACCUUUCUCUUGCAAGCUCUUAACUGUGUCGUAGAGGCUUUGCUUGGUGGAUGUGAACUCUAAGCCUAAGUCCUUAAUCUUUUGAUUAGUGAACUUGUACGGCUUGGCUCUAGGGUUCUUCUCGUCCUUACACCUGAAAAAUUAACAAACAUUGUAAUUACUUAACACUCUUAUUUGUUGGUUAAUUUGUCUAAUUAAAGUUGGGCAUAAACCAAAGACUUAGCUCCAUUACAACUACCAUUUCAAAAUAAAAAUAUCUACCAACAUUUUUUUUUUUAUUGUGGCCUUGUUGGUGUAUAUUAUGGGUUUAUAAAAAGUCCACGUUAGCAGUAGGUGACGAGUGGACUUUGGACAUAUGGUGUGUGUUGUUGGUACACCAACUUCAACUUUUACCACAAACUAUAAAAAAAAAAAGAACAUGGGACCAACUCGCAUGCAUCAUUGAGUUGGUAUCAUGAUAAGAGAUAAGAUAAAGAAACAAAAGCGUACAUUAAAAAGAAAUUUUAAAAGAAUUAUAUCAUUGAUUAAGCUAUAUAAAGAUUUGCAAAGACACUGCGACACUGUCGUCAAGCUUAGCGUUACGUUAUUGUGUUGUGUUUGCUGACUAAAGUUGGUGACGACUUACUAGAUUUAUGUACACUAAUGAAUGCGAACGUGUGUCAUGUGUGCAUGUAUUUGUAUGCAAGGCUUACACGAAUAUAGAUAUAUAAUUGAAAUAGUGUUGGUUACAAAGAAUAUAACUUGAGAGUUGAGUAAGGUCAUUGUCCUAAUGGGUACACUAUUAAAAGGUUUUUACUUAAUUUAUUUUCUUCUUUUUUACUUACGCAAAACACACAUACUCAAACUCGUUGACUAAAAAUGUUAAUUUUCUGUGGUUAUAAUUCUAAAAAAGUUUUAUUCGUUUCUUUCUACUAACUCAAAUGAUGGUAUUAUAUAUAUAUUAUGGCAUUGGUUUCACUUACUUGGUUGGAAUUGGGUACUCCGGGAAUAACUUAGCCAGAAUCUCAACAACUUCACCGCGGUGAAGUGCGCUCUCCGCCAGGAGAUAGCGUCCAGAGGCUGAGGGGGCCUCGUAGACCAGAACAUGAGCUAGUGCGACAUCACGAACAUCCACAUAAGCCUGAGUCAAAUUAGCGUAAGUCUUAGCCGAGCCAGUUAGAUACUUAAGAACGUGGAAGAGACUAGCGUUGAUCGUCGGCUGUAACGGCGGUCCAAGAACCAGCACCGGGUUCAGAACCACCAGGUCAACACCUUUCUCCUCUGCCGUCUCCCACGCGGCUUGCUCCGCCACCAUCUUGCCGUAACAAUACCAAUUCUAUAAAACACAUAAAAAAUUUUAGUAGACCAAAUAUAAAAAACUAACUAUUUUAAUUUGAGUUAGACAUCAAAGUAUUUUAGUUUUAGUUUUCAGGUUUGUUAAGUGCAAAAGCAUAGGAUUGAAGCCUUGGUUAUUUCAAAUGCACAAUUCAUCUGCUAGUAGAAUUGUAGAAAGUGUUAUUUACAAAUAAACUAACUUUUUUUAUCAUUUUCACACCAAAUCUUAAUUAAUAAAUUAUAGGAAUAAAGUCAAGACCUUGGUGUUUUUGCAGAACUCAAGAUCACUCCAGCAACUUUCGUCAACGACGGCUUCAGGGUCACGGCUCGGGUCCAUGUAGACCGCACCAAUUGAGGAGGUGAUUACCACGCGCUUAACCUUGGCUUCAGCUGCAGCAUUAAUUACAAACUUGGCUCCGUUCACGGCCGGCUCCACCAUCUGCUCCUGAAAAUUUACGUUACAUUUUUUAAAAUAGAUGAUCAAUAAUACUACAUUUUUUUUUUUUUUAUAUAUAAUACUACAUUUAAUUUAACGCAUUCAUUGAUUUGCCCCUCCGACAGUCUAAUUUAUAACCAUAUAGUUUCUUCCCUUCCGAAGUCGAAUGUAUUAAUUUCAUUACAGUUAAAUGUUAUUUUAACGUCUUGAAAUUAAAUAAUAUACUUUACCAAAACCAACAUGCAAAAGAUUUUUAACUUCUUUCAUGCGAUAUUUUUUUACUAAUAAUAAGAUUUGAACGACAAACAAAAUCUAAAAGAAAUCAGCUCCACUACCAUAAUUGUCUUUGUUAUCUCAUGUAGGUCCCUAACUUUAUUCGAUUAUUCUCAGGAGAAGAAAAAAAUACUCACGGGAUCGUCAGUGACCGGAGAAGCCGUAUGAAAGACGCCGUCACAACCAUCGAUAGCCGACUUAAGAGCAUCGUAGUCCUGAAGAUCUGCUUUGCACAGAAUCAGUCUCUCCUUGGCUCCUUCGAGUUCUCUCAAAUGUGUAUUCUUGGGAUCAUCUGCAAAAAAAAACAAUAUAAAAAAUUAAUAAUUCAUCCAAGCAAUUAAUUAAUUCAACCAGAAAAUAUUAUCAUUAUUACAGUGACCAAAAAAGUAUAAUAUUAUCGGACCUGGAUUCCGUACGGUUCCUUUGACCGUGUAGCCUCUCUCAAGUAGUAACUUAACAAUCCAAGAAGCGAUGUAUCCACCAGCUCCGGUGACGCAAACUGUUUUCCCGACCGCUGUAGAUUCGUCGACUGGCAUUUUUUUUCCGGUGUGGUCGAAAGUGAAAGCUUCGGUCUUCGAAGAGGCAGAAGCAAAAUGAUGAAUGCGUACAAAGUGAGUUACGGUUUGUAUAUAAAGACUGAAAAGGAAGUUUAUCCUUUUUUGAUUCCUCACACCUAACCAUUGUGAUGAGUGUGGUCUACAUAUUUAUAUUUUAUUUGCAUAUAUGUAUAGAAAGACAAAACAUAUUUAUUAUUUUAUAAAAAGAGGGGUUGGUGGAAGCAGAAAAUUAUUUGGAACAACAAUACACCAGAAAAAUCUCAUAAACUUGGACAAAACUCUACCUACAAUCAUUUUACUUUGGGUAAUAUAUCUCUACCAAUAUUUCUUGAUGAAGACAUUAAUACAUCUUCUAGACGAUGUAUGUAUAUGCAUAUACCGAAAUAAUAUUGAUUUACACCUUUAUAAUCAUUCAAGAAAUCAUUGAUUAGACUGGACGUCUAACCCAAACUUUUGAUUAUCUACACCAAUUUUUUUUAUAAAAAUAUUAUAGAAAAAUUGUUUCGCUUAGGUUCGAGCAGUAGUAGUACAAAUAUAUUAAUUCUAGAAGAAAAGGGGUGUGGUAUGGGACAAGACAAGUCGCAAGUGUUAUGCUUGCAGUUUACUUACCUACUCCAUUGAUGGUAGGAUGUUACGAUUUAGACACUUUUCUCUGAAAGUUAAAAAUAAUGCGCUCAAUAAAGGAAGUGCUGAAAUGACUACACAUAUAAUCACUGUUUUGUGUUUAGCAAAGCACACACAUGUCCUCUAAAAUGUAUGUUACUUAGCUAGGUGACACCAGCAAACUAGUUCCACAAUAAGACAUAAUAGGUCAGAAGACUCUCUCUACUAACAAUAACACCAUAAGUCUUUAAACAAGCAGCUUCACUAAACAUAAAAGUUACCUAAACCACAAUAAUCAAUCUUUAUCAUCACCUAACCAUGCAUGGCCCCAUGGAUCAACCUGAAACAGGGGUAGUACCAGCUUCUGCUUUAUCAGUCUCUUCUCCCACUUCCUUAACUGCUCUCUGAUCAUCUUCUUCAGCUUCAUUUUCUACUUUACCAGUCUCAGUCACACUUGGCUCUUUUUCAGCUCCAUGACUCUGCUCCUCAGAUAUGUCCUCCUUAGCGUCUUCACUUGGCUCUUUUGCUGAUUCUCCCUCUCGUACCUCAGACAUAUCCUCCUUCUCAAUCAAUUUUGUGUCUGCACUUGGCUCUUUCGCUGAUUCUACCUCUUGUACCGCAGACAUAUCCUCCUUCUCAAUCAAUUUUGUGUCUGCACUCGGCUCUUUUGCAGAUUCUCCCACUUGCUCCUCAGACAUAUCCUCCUUCUCAAUCAAUUUUGUAUCUGCACUUGGCUCUUUCGCUGAUUCUACCUCUUGUACCUCAGACAUAUCCUCCUUCUCGAUCAAUUUUGUGUCUGCAUUUGGCUCUUUUG
RNAcentral lists this long non-coding RNA (54966 nucleotides) under Brassica napus (rape). RNAcentral's name for it is "long non-coding RNA (BNAP_LNC022219)". The stretch from base 33806 to 33878 matches the Rfam family "tRNA". The record is from RNAcentral. Lineage: Eukaryota; Viridiplantae; Streptophyta; Magnoliopsida; Brassicales; Brassicaceae.